CUCAUUUUCUCUUCCUGCGGUCAGGUGAGGAGAGUUCUUCGCCUCGCGCCAGGAUUCUGAGGCCUCCCCAGCCAUGUGGAACUCAAUAUCCGGAGAGAGAGAGAGAGAUUCCUGUAGAAUACAAGACAAGACUAUCACAAUGAGCUGAAAUGUUGGGUCUGUGAAAGUAAUGAGAAGCACAGUGGAAAUAAGUUUCUGAAGGAUGGAAGAGGCUGGAGGCUGGCUAGUGGGAGAAGGUUCCCAGACACGUGAGAGACCCAGCAACAGAUUAAAAUCAUCCUUACCUGACAAGAGGACUCAGUGAAUCAAUGUUGUGCAGGAAGCAUGGCACCAGCGUCUGCUUUGGGUGAGGACCUCCAGCUGCUUCCACUCAUGGUGGAAGGCAAAGGAAAACUGGCUGUGCAGAGAUCAUAUGGUGAGAGAGGAAGCAGGAAAGGAGAGGUGCCAGGUGCUUUUUAACAUCCAGCUCUGGUGGGAGCUAAUAGAGCGAGAACUCACUCGCCAUCCCCCAUCCUAGGGAGUGCAUUAAUCUGUUUAUAAGGGAUUUGCCCCCCAUGACCCAAAAACCUCCCAUUAAGUCCCAUCUCCAAUACUGGGGAUCAAAUUUCAACAUAAGAUUUGGAGGGGUAAAUAAACCAAAUUAUAACAGUUUAUUUCUUGAUUUUGUUUUUGUCUUAUCCUUGUAAAAUAAGCUAGUAGCUUACAUUUAUAUUUUCCUGCCUACCAAUGAGUUUUCAUAUAUCUUCAUAAGUUUAUUGGCUUUUGGGGUUUUGCUCUUUGGUAAAAUUUUAAUGAAUAUUCACAAGUUGCUUUACUCAUUUGUGUCAGUUAGAGAAGAGUCUUGACUUUCCCCCCAAAUCUCAUAGUUACCUGUUUACUUUAUGAUAUGAUUGUCACUCAAAAUAAUCAAUUUUUACAUAGUUGCUCUGGUUUGAAUGUUUGUGUACCUCAAAAAUACAUAUUUUGAAAUCUAAAUCCCCAGUAUGUAGGUAUUAAGGGAUGGAAACUUUGGAAGGUGCCUAGAUCAUGAAGGUGGAGCCUUUGUGAACAGGAUCAGUACCCUUAUGAAAGAAGCCUGAGGGAGUUCAACUCACCCCUUUCUAUUAUGUAAGGAUGCAGCAGGAAGAUGUUGUCUAUGACGUCAGAGCCCUCACCAGACACUUAAUUUGAUGGCAACUUGAUCUUGGACUUCUCAGUCUCCAGAACUGUGAGCAAUAAAUUUCUGUUAUUUAUAAGUUAUCCAGUCUGAGGAAUUUUGGUAUAGCAGCCCAAAUGGACUAAGACAGUAGUAAAAUGUACCUAUGUUUUAUUUUAUAGCUUUGGAUUUUCUAUCCUGGAUUACAACAUUUUUCUGCCCUUGGCUUAUACAUAUUGUCUUCAGGAUAGUCUCUAAAUGUUUUAUUGCUUCAUUAUUUUACAUGUAAAUCUUUAGUCUACUUGGGAAAUAAUUUCAUAUAUUGUAGAAAAUCAUGUCCAAUAUAAUUAUUUUCCAUAUGAGUAGCGAGUGCCCCGACAUCAUAUAUUGAAAAGUGUAUUCUCUUACUUUGGGAGGCCGAAGCAGGCGGAUCCCUUGUGUCAGGAAUUUGAGACCAGCCUGACUAACAUGGUGAAACCCCAUCUCUAUUAAAAAAAAAUACAAAAAUUAGCUGGGUGUGGUGGUGGACACCUGUAAUCUCAGAUACUCAGGAGGCUGAGGCAGGAGAAUUGCUUGACCCUGGGAGGUGGAGGUUGCAGUGAGCAGAGAUCACACCACUGCACUCCGGCCUGGGCGACAGAGCGAGACUCCAUAGGCAACAACAACAACAACAAAAAGUGUAUUCUCUUCCAGCUGAACUGAAAUACCAAACAAAUGUUUAUAUGUAUCAGUAUAUAUUUGUGGAUUUUCUAUUCAGUUCUCUUAAUCUCACUGUCUCUUCUGGCUAAUGACCUAUUGGUUCAAUUACAAUAGUUUUAGAAUAGUUUGAAUCCUGGCAUGACGAAUGUCUUGCCAUUCUUUCUUUCUAUUUACUAAAUACUGUUUGGCUAUUAUCUAAAAGUUAUUUCUUUUUAUGAAAACUUUAAAUGCCACUUUAUGUAAUCAUAAAAAGCACUCUCUUGGGCUUUAACCAAAAUAUUCUUAUAUUUGUUAAUUUAGAAAGAUUUUAUAUUUUGUGAUCUCAAGUCUGCUAUCCAAAGAAAUGGCAUGCCUUUGGCUGGGAGUGGUGGCUCAUGCUGUAAUCCCAGCACUUUGGCUCACACCUGUAAUCCCAGCACUUUGGGAGGUCAACGUGGGUGGAUCAACUGACGUCAGGAGUUCAAGACCAGCCUGGCCAACCUGGUGAAACUUCGUCUCUUCUAAAAAUACAAAAAUUAGCUGGGUGUGGUGGUGGGUGCCUGUAAUCCCAGCUACUUGGGAGGCUGAGGCAGGAGAAUCACUUGAACCCGGGAGGCAGAGGUUGCAGUGAGCUGAGAUCGCGCCAUUGCAAUGGAGGCUGGGCAACAGAGCGAGACUCCAUCUCAAAAAACAAAACAAAACAAAAAGGCAUGCCUUUUCAUUUUCUAUAUCUUUAUCAUCAACAUCCUAUACCACUUCUAUAUAUUUUUUUAAGUUCUUUAUAAUUUAUUUUUUCUACUUUGAUGAAUAUUUUCUUCUCAUUUAUAUGUAAAGGUGGUUAUCCCUAACUUAUAAAUCCUAUUAUAAAUUCUAAUUUUUUCAGUCCUGGAAUUUUUGGGCAAAAAAUGUUAUUAUAAAAUGAUUUAAGCUCUUCUUUUGCAGUAUUAUGUACUUGAGUCUUUGCAUUUUUAGAACCUCCAAGUUAGUGUUAAAUUAUAAGGGUUAUUGAGGAUAUUCAUCUGACUUUUUAUUUUAUUUUGAGUGUUAAAUAUUGCCCAUUUAGGAUAAUAUUUUCUGUUACCUUUGGUCAUUUUAUUUUAUUUGUUUAACUCCUUCAUUUUUUACUUAAAAUGUAUUUAAAAGAAUAAUAAAUUUAAUCUAACAUCACUUCAGCAUUUGCACAUUUUAUUCUUCUUUAUUUUCUUAACAUGAUGUAUUAUGUAAAUAAAUUUCCUGAUAUUAACCACCCUGCUUUUCCUGGAAUAAGCCUUACUUGGUCAUAGUAUAUUAUUCUUCUAAUAACUGUGCAGGAUCAAUUUUCUAAUAUUCCAUUUGAACUGAGAUUGUACAGUAGUUUUCUGUUGCAUCUUUAUUAUGUUUUGGUACUAAACUGUACACAUAAAUGAAUUAGAUAAAUGCCCAUCUUAUUAUCUAUGACUAGUUUAUAACAUUAGAAUUAUCUAUUAUUUAAAGAUUGGAUAAACUCAGCUGGAAAUCCACCUAAUCCUAGUGCUUUUUGUUAUCCCUUCUAUGAUAAUUAGCCUAUUCAAAUUUUCCCUUCUUAUUGGGUCAAUUUUGGUAAUUGAUAUGUUGCUAGGAAAUCAUCUAUUUUGUUCAGGUUUUCAAAUUUAUUGCCAGAGAGUUACAUCCUGCAUUAAAUGUUAAUAGAAAAUAUAGAAAAAGUAUAAUUCUAUCCAUAAUGUUACUUAAUGUAAAUAGGUAAAAUUGAAUAUGUACAUGGUCAUGUAUUGGAUAAUAUAAAUGAAAAUAUUGAAUUUGAGGAUAUUAUUUUCCCCAUGGGUUUCUCCUAUUAUAAUAUGAUAUCAGCAAUAUUAUUUUAAAAACAAAGCAUUGUACAUUAGUAGUUGAUAGGGUUUGGUUCUGUGUCCCCACCCAAAUCUCAUGUCCAGUUGUAAUCCCCAAUGUUGGAGGAGGGCCCUGGUUGGCGGUGAUUGAAUCAUGGGGGCACACCGCUUCCCCCUUGCUGUUCUUGUGAUGGUGACCACAUUCUCAGGAGAUCUGGUUGUUUAAAAAUGUGUAGCACUUCCCCCUUUGCCCUCUCUCUUUCCUGCUCCACCAUGUGAAGAUAUGACUGCUUCCCCUUUGCCUUCUGCCAUGAUUGUAAGUCUCCUGAGGCCUCCCCAGUCAUGCUUCCUGUGCAGCCUAUGGAACUUUCAAUCAAUUAAACCUCUUUUCUUUACAAAUUACCCAGCCUCAGUUCUUUAUAGCAAUGCAAGAAUGGAGUAAUAUGGUGGUUAAGAAAGGAGGUUCUGAAUUUGGGCAGACAUGGAUUCAAAAUAUGGGUCUGCCAUGUGUUCACUGUAUGAUGUGGACUGUUUACUGGAAGUCUUCUAAUCUAUUUUCUUGUUCGUAUAAUACAAUGGGAACAAUAAUGGUGUCAUCCUCUUAGGGUUGAUGUAAGGAUCAAAUGAUCUAAUGCAAAAGCUUAGCAUAAUGUCUGAUACAUUAUUAACCUUUAAUUAUUGAUAGCUAUUGUCAUCAAAAAAGCAGACUGUGGAGAACCUGAUAGCUACAGUUUGACUUUCAUCACAGCUGAUAUUAUUUAUAAUUCCAUUUAGCCUUCCCAGCCUUAAGGGAUGAGACGGCCAAAAUGAAGAGUGUGUGGUGUAGCCACUUUGUUAUUAUUAAACUUACAGGCCCUGGCAAGUCAAUAGUUCAGUCUAAUCCAAGCUGAUAUGCAGAUGGCAGAAGGACCUCCAGGCAGAGUUGUCGGAGUGGCAAAAAGCUGUAUGAAAAUGCGGAAUAAUGGGCUAACAGAGAAAAAGCUAGAGGAUUUAGGAAGAGACAGCAGAGUGUCAUUGAUGGGAUGAAUUUUAGGCUUUCAGGAUCAGUUUUAGAAAUUCUGUUUCCACCAUUUACUAACUGGGUCUUUGAGACUUAGUGUCCUCAUUUUUAAAAUGGGGCUAAUAAUCACACUUGCCUCAUAAGGUUAUCUUGAGAAUUAAAUCAGAAGAUGCAUGAAAAGUUCUUGAUAUGUAGUAUAUACUCAAUAAAGGUUUAUAUUAAAAAGUGUCAAAAUAAUGCAGUCAGAGAAGGACCCCAGAUAAUGUACACAGUAGUAGAAUGUAAGUUUCAAGAUGGACUCAUGAAUAAUCCCCGAAGUCAGCAGGAGAAAUGAUGGAAUAGGAAUUCCUAAGUGGCCUAAUUCUGAAAUGAGCAUGAGAAUGGAGAAAACAGUAUAGCACCAUUUGUACUACCCGCUUCCUUAAACUCAUGACUGGAUUUGGGAGAAGUUCAUGUUGGUCAGGAACAUUGUAUUUAAACUCCAAUUGGAUUUUCUGGAUGUAAAUAGUUAUAGUAAUAUAAAUAACAAGAAGUGACUAUCAGUGUGCAGAUAUGCAUUUAGAAGUGGCCUCUAUGGGAUAAGGUAGAGUCUUGUCUGGAGGGUUGAUACCUUUAACAUGACACUGUAGAGGAAAGCAGCAUUGAUAAUAAUAGAUAUUGGGGAAAGACUAGGUUGGAAAAGAAAUAAGUGACACCAGAUGAUUGACAUACAACAUGAAGAUUUUAAAGCCUGAGUUGAAACUUUCAUUAUAAUUAAAAAAUAUAUAUUAUUAUUUGUUCUGGAAGUUGUUAUUGUUGUUUUGUUGUUGUCUGUUAAGCAGGGUUUUUGAAGGGACCUGAUUCUUACAGGAGGAGAAAGGAGUUUACUACAGUUAAGAGUCUAAGAGAAAAAUCUAGGGUGGAUAUAGAAUAAAGUUUCUUCCUUUGGAUGCAAAAAGAAGAAUUUUGGCUGAUCACUGAAGGAUAUACUUAAGCCAGUUAGAAAAUAACUUGCUCCCCCAAAGAUGAAGGAUAUAUAGAAUAAGAAGCCUUGAGCUGGUCAGUUAAGCAGGCAAAAGAAAGAGAAGAGAGAGGUGAGAAGGCAGGAAGGAGAAAUAAACGUGGCCAUGAAUGCUGAAACCCUCUGUAUACUUGUAAUUUGCCCUAUUUGCUUGAUACUUGUACCUUCAUAUUCUUCUUGCAGCUAUAAAAUCGCCUGAGCACUUUAAAGGCACAGAUGAGUGCACCGUGCUGGAGGAGAUCAGGCUGGCAAGGAAUGAAAAUCAUCAGUGAAAGGCCAGGGAAGAACCCCGGGUGCAUUGUCUUUAGAUAAGAAUCUCUGCUUUCUGAAAUGCAAGACAGACAGAUAUUGAAAGAAUAGCAAAGCCAACUGGUUCAUCCUAAGGGCUAUGUUUUUAACAUAGAUGAAUUACUAGUCAAGGAGAGGGUUACAUCAGGAGGGUUGGAAGGGAAUGGAGAAAAGAUUCAGAAGAAUGAGCCUGGAAAUGAAAAUUAAAACAAAGAGAUGUCAUUUGUCAACUACCAAAUUGGUGAAGACUUACAAAGAAUUACAGUACCCAGCAUUUUCUAGGAUAAAUGAAGAAUGGGACUCUAAUUUAUACAUUACUAGUGGGAAUAUUCAUCAGCACAGACUUUCUGGACUCAAAUUUGGCAAUGUGUGCAGAAAGCCUUAAAUACGUGUACUUUCAAAGCCAUUGUUUUAGUUAGGAUUAGUUCAGCUGCGUGUGAUAGAAAACCAACUUCUAAAAUGACUGAAACAAGAUAAAAGUAUAUUUCUCUUUCUCUCUGGAGGUGGGCAGUCCAGGGCUGGUUUGGCAGCCAUAGAAGGUGAUAUGGACCCAGAGACCUAUAUCUUUUUGUUCGAUCGCCCCAGCAAAGUCUUCUCAUAUCCUCGGUGGCUCCUUUGGCUCCAACCAUCCUGUUAGAACUCUGCCUGAGGAAGACCAAAAGCAGACUUUACCUUUAAAUAACACUUUGAAAAGUUGUACUUUACUACACUUUUACUUCUAGCUCAAUGCCUAGAGCUUCUGGUUGAAAAGGUGGCUGGAAAAAAAUGUAGCCUUUAUGUAGGCAUCCAUGUGCUCAGCAAAAUUUCAGUGAUCAAAUAAUAAAAGCAAGGAACAACGAGUGAGAGCAGCAGCCUCUGACCUAUUCCACUUUUAUUUAUAUAAGGAAGUACUCAGAAAACAAUUCAAAAGUGGGUAUACACACAUUUAUUGCAGCACUAUCAUAAUACAAAAAAAUAGAAAUCACUUAAGACCCCAAAAAGGAAGUAGUUCAAUAACUUAUAAUACAAAUUAUAAUACAUACAUGUAUAGGAUACUCUAUAGCCAUUAACAUGGUAUAUAAAAGGACCAGGAGCUGUGGCUUACACCUAUAAUUCCGGGGCUAUGGGAGGCAAAAGCAGCAUCACUUGCUAAGAGGACUUCAGGACCAGCCUGGGCAACAUAGUGAGACCCAGACUCUACCAAAAGUUAAAAAAAAAAAAAAAAAAAAAAAAGCCAAGUGUGGUGCUGCGCACCUAUAGUCCUAACUACUGGGGAGGUUGAGGCAAGAGGAUCAUUUAAGCCCAGGAGAUGAAGGCUGCAGUGAGCCAUGGUUGUGCUACUGCACUCCAGCCUGGGUGACAGAGCUAGACCUUGUCUCUAAAACAAACCCAAACCAAACAAACAUGGUAUAUAACUGAAUUUCUUGAUGUGAAAAAGUAAUUGCGAUGUGUUACCAAUUGAAAAGCAGUUUACAAAGUGGCAUGGCUACUAUCAUUCAUGUUUGUAAGAAAAAGUCUAAAUAAAUAAAAGUCAGAAUAGAUAUACGUUAAAAUGAUAAUCUCUAUUGAUUGGAGGAAUUGUUGGCAAUUUUAAUUUUCUUCUUUGUACUUUGUAAUUUCUGAAUUUGUCACCAAUGACUAUAAAUGUAUAUUUAAAAAAAAUCACACACCAGGAUUCUAUACCUAUUUUGCACUGCCAAAGAUACACCUUUCUUUAAAAUCUUGCUAUUUCUCGAACUAUCACAGUAUUUGCUCCUCCUUCCACUUUUGACUGUUUCCAUACUAAUCAUUUCUAAAUAAAAUUAACACAUCAAUUUCCCUAUAAGAACAACUCUUACCAUACUAUUUCUGUUAAACCAUAAAUACUCUGGAAUUGCUUCUUGAAUUAAAAUAAAUAAAAUUUUCUUUCCUUGAACUUCAAAGUUUUUCACUUGAUACUCAAAACCUACUUUGUUCAUUUCAUCAUGCCAAUGACAUCUUCCCUGACAAAUGUGUUAUUAGCUGGUCUCAAAUACUUCCAGUCUUUUUCUGCUUCCAGGUCUCUAUGUCAGAAAUACUCUUCUUUCUCUAUCUUUCAAUGUUAAAAUCCAUCUUCCAUAAUCUUUAAGAUCCUUCUCAAAUAGUGUCUCCCCUGUAAAGCAAUUCCAGUAGAUGUAAUCUCUACAAACUUUUCACAGUUGCAAUGGUUAUCUUCAGUAUUAUGUAAAAGCUAUUUUGAGGCUUGUCUUCUUCCUUUUGUUAGAAUCUUGCAAAUUCUCUGAAGCCCAGACUUUAAGUUAUUCAUCUUUGCAUCCUCCAUUAUACCUAUCACAGAACUUAAGUACAAUAGGACCUCAGCCAGUGUUCCAGGAAAUAAAUUAAAUUGAAUGAAAUUUCCAUACAGUGAUAAGAAGGAGAUUACUGCUGCCCACGGGGAAAAAGGAGAACAGAAAUGGGAAAGCCGUAUUGAGAGGAUGUUUGAGAACUGUGAAAGACAGAAAGCAGACCAGAUUGCCAUGCCUAAACCACUUUCUUUGAAGUUUAUGGAAGCACCACUGCAUUUAUGCCAGAAGGUGAAAGUCCAGAACAGGGUACUAUUGAGAACCAACUAACUUGGAGCCGUGUAUGAGCCACUGGGAAUAGACUAAAUGAGAUAAUCAACGUCUUGAUCUCAUAUUCUUUCAUUCUACAGAAGGAAGCAGGCAACAGGUAAGCACACAAAUAAAUGAGUAAUUUCAGAGAAUGGUACAUCCAAAGGCAAUAUAAUCACGUGUUGGUCAUUUUCCUGUUUGGUGUCAGUCCCCCUCAGGGCCUUUCUAUGCUUUGUUAUAUUUCGGGGGUGGGUGGGAUAGUGGGACCAGGAAAACUACAUUUCCUGAUGUUUUUCCCAGAAAGCUUCCUAAGGAGCUCUGCCAGAGAGAAUCUGUACUAGGGGUUUAGAGGCAGGAGGAGCCUCCUGCUUGCCCUCUCUUUCAGCAGCAGCUAUAGACUCCAGUGUCUUUCACCCAUAUUCCUGCAACCUGUUCUGUGCUUUUUUAUGUGAUGGGCAGUCAGGUGUGGCCACAAGCGGAGAUGCAGGAGAUGCUCAGGAAAACAAAGCUUAUUAAUAUUCUCACAUGUCUUGGACACAGGAGGGCAUGGCUUGCUACACAGGGCCCCAUGGGCAAGUCUCAGGGUGGUCUGAAGGCAGAAAGCAGAAGUGAGGGGAAGGUCUCAGCCAGAGCCUUUAUUGAGAUUUCCACUGGAAAGAGCAGGACAGGUUGAACAGUUUAGGACUGACUAGUUUGAAUAACCUAGGAAGGCUUUGGGCUAUAGGGUGGUUCUUAGUUUCUUGGUCCAUUGCUCUGGGGUAAUUAAGGCAAAGGAAUAUUGCCUCCUGACGUGUGGGGGUCAAAUAAAGGAGUUUUGGCUCUAGAUGAUUAAUUUCCAUAUCCAAGAGAAGCUCCUGGCUGAGCCCUUUGCUAUUUUAUCAACUGUAUGCAGGCUCCCUUCUGAGCCUGGUCCUGGCACUUGUCACCCCCACGGAUUUGUCUGGCAUCUCCUCCAGCUGCCAGCACAGGCUGUUGUAGGGGAGGGGCUCCUUCUGGUGGUCCUCGCUUUGCCUCCUCCCUUUGUCCUCCAAGUCCUUUGGAUGGCAGCUGCUUCUCACGGUUACCAAUAACUCAGUUACUUAGCCACCUCAUUUUGUCCACUCAGUAUUUCUAAUGCUUUUAUAAUCCAUUUCUUACAACCAGUCCCUCUAUUUGAAAUGUAGGGUGAUUCCUGGCAUUGGUCCUGUUGAUAUAGAGAGUGAUAGAGGAUGCUGCCUUGGGUCAGCUAGCUGGGCAAGGCAUCUCUGAGGAAACUGUAAAACAGAUAUGAAAAAUGUCAAGAGAUUACCCUUAUUUAUACCCAGGGGGUGAGCACUCCAGGCAGAGGUGCCUGCAAGUGACUUGAGGAAGGAGAAAGUGUGGUCAACUCUAGAAAUGACUAGGUAGAACUCUGAUACUAACCUUCCAAUUACUCCUCUUUAAGAAUUGACUUCAUGCUGGGUGUGAUGGUUCGUGCCCAUAACCCCAGCACUUUGGGAGAUCAAGGCAGGAGAAUGGCUUGAGCUCAGAAGUUUGAGACCAGACCAAGCAACAUAGCAAGACCCCCAUCUCUCCAAAAAUAAAAAUAAAAAAAUAGCUGGGCAUGGUGGCUUGCAUCUCUGGCCCAAGGUACUUGGGAGGCCAAGGCGGGAGGAUUGCUCGAGCCCAGGAGGUCAGGGCUGCCAUGAACCAUGUUUGUGCCACUGCUCUCCAGCUUGGGUGACAGAACACGAUCUGGACUGGAAUUUCUUUAGCUUGGAUGCUGGUAGCUGUGUGCAGUGGUCCUAGAACACUGAUAGCCCAUGUACAAUGCUCCUAAAUCGACCUUUCUAAAGGUCCCAGUUGAGACUCCUUCAUCUGUUCCAUUUUUCCAAAGGUUUUGGUUGCCAUCUGGUAUUUUUCAUCCAACCAAUGACUUCUCCUUUGUCUUACAUAGUUUUAAAGCUGUUUGCACUCUCUGGUUUGCUCUCUCUCUCCCUGCCACGCUCUCCGUUCUGCCCCAUCUCUUUGUCUGUCAUCUUUCCCUUGUGAAAUUCAGCUGUGCCGAGGGAGAAUCAAGUGCGACAUCUUCACUCCAUUCUGGAUUUAGGCAAGGAGAACAACUGCUGGGUCCCAUCUGAGUUGGAAAGAGCUCUCCCAUGGAGAAGGAGUCUUAGACACAAUGGUGUUUCCUGAUGAUUGCUAUUUCGUAUUCUCAUUCAUGCAGCUGUUCCCUUACUCGCUGGAGAAUCAGUUGACUACCAGUGUCAUCAAUGUGGUGACUGAAACUCAGUGAGACCUGGUUUCAUUUCUCACAAAUAGGUUGAGUUUCAUCCUUCAGUUUCGUCUCAUUUGACCUUGGAAAGCAUUAUCCAAAUUUGUUGAGCCCUUCAGAGUGAGCACUGACCUCAACCACCCUCCCAAGGAGAAGCUGGUGCUUCAUGACACUUCAUGACCUUUUAUCCGAAGGUGGUCACUUGGGUGUCUAUUUAAGUCUAGACGAGCACAGCAGGCCAUUGUUUGAAAAUAGGCACUUUUAAUCUAAAAAAGCUUUUUUUCCAUGUGCUUUAGGGGAAUUAAAAUGAUCAGUUCUGUAUAGCUGAGUGAUAGUGCAAGCCAAAAUAUUUUUGAAUGAAAAGGGAUGCAUGGUGAACAUAACUUUGAUCUUUGUCUACCCUGGCUUAUGGGCCAAAAGUUGUUUAUCCAGGACAAGGUUUAGUAAAAAAAAUAUAUCUCAGUACAAAAGGUAUGGUUUGUUAAAAUGUUAGUCAUUCAUUCUACAUAUUCUUUGUAGACUUUACAAAUCAGAAAAUCAAAGACUAUGGUGAAUUCUCAUCUCUGCCCAUAAAGGGGCUUCCAGUAGGGCAGAAUGCCUAGACUGGAUAAUAUUCAUUUUAGUACUUUUCAUGAUAUGAGUCUAUGGCUGGAAAAUUCUUUGUAGUUGUUGUAUAGGCUCUCUUUACUGAUUCCAAAGAGCUUAUUUUAGUUAUUUCUAUUCACAUGUCUGUUUCUCAAAGAAAAUGGUUAACUUUCCCCUGAGACAGGAGGAAGAACUGCAUUUUGUUGUAGAUUUGUAUCCCCCUCUGGAAUGCUCCCUCGGUUAUUUUGCAUUAAGAUCAAGCCAUUCUUCCAUCAAGAGAGCUUCCAGGACCACUCCAGCGCACAGGGAUCACUCUGUCCUUUCACAUCAGCUCUGUGUCUGUCCCUCAUAUUUGACAAUCUGCACACAUAGCCUAUAGGACAUUGUUGAUGGUGUGCUAAAUAAAUUAUUUUUAUCAGCUUUACUUUUUGUUCUGGAUCACUACUCAUAAAUAUCUUAUGCUAUUAAUUAGUUUCUAAGUUACUUACGAACAAUAAUUGAAGUUUAUAAUUUUGUGUUUUUCGUGAUGCCAACCCAGUACUGAGCACACAGUAGGUCUCAGUAGGUUUUUCAAUUUGAUGAUUUCAUGACAACUAAUGUGAAUAUCUCUUUGUUCUGGUAUUCAGAGUAACAAGACGGAAGUCAAACUUAGAUAUAAUGAGCUAAAAUAUUUGCGCUCCAACUCCAUCCAUUUGGCUGGUAGGGAUGUUUUCAGUGUUUAAAGAUGAGGGAUGCAUCCGGGUGCGAUGGCUAACAUCUGUAAUCCCAGCAAUUUGGGAGGCCAAGGUGGGCAGAUCACCUGAGGUCAGGAGUUUGAGACCAGUCUGGCCAACAUGGUGAAACCCCAUUUCUAAUAAAAAUACAAAAAUUAGUCAUGCCUGGUGGCGCAUGCCUGUAGUCCCAGCUACAAGGGAGACUGAGGCAGGAGAAUCUCUUGAACCUGGGAGGCGGAGGUUGCGGUGAGCCAAAAUCACACCACUGCACUCCAGCCUGGGCAACAGAGAGAGACUCCGUCUCAAAAAAAGAAAGAAAGAAAGAAAGAAAGAGAAAUAAAAUAAGGAUGAGGGAUGCAAUAUUACAAUCCUUUUAAAUUACUGAUUUUUCUCCUCCAAGCUUUCUUCAGCCCAGUGUUUUUCCAUCCGAGUAAAUAGCACCAUGAACAUCUGACUGAUGAGGCUUAAAACCUAGAAGUCACCCGUUUCUAUUUUAAAAACAGAUUCAUUGAGGUAUAAUUGAUAAAAUAUUGCACAUAUUUAAUAUGUUCAAUUUGAUGGCUUUGGAUAUAUACAAACACGGAUGAUACCCACAGUCAAGGUAAUAUCAUAUAAAUCUUUCACCUUUUACUCCUAGUUCUUUUUUUUUUUCCCCUUCUCCCUACACAUCCAAUCCACUGCAAGUGCUCCACUGACAAGUCUAGCUCAACUACGAAAGAUGACUCCUCUUCCCAUCCACACCUUAGUCUAACGCACAGCAGCUGCUUCAAUGGUCUCGGCUUCCCUUGUCACCUCCCUACUCUGCACAACAAUCACUGUGAUCUUUUCAACAAAUGCUGAUAAAUCUCUUGUAACCUCCCUGCUUUAGAUGCUCCAGUGGCUUUUCACUGCACUUAAAAAUCCUAAAGAGUGUGCGGCAGUAUAUCAUUUGGGGUUUAAUUUGCAUUUUCCCAAUAAAUAAUAUGUCAAGAAUCUUUUCAUGUACUUAUUUGCCAUCUCAUCCAUAUAUCAUUUUUAGUGGUGGUUUUCUUCAAAUCUUCAGCUCACUUUUUAAAAUAAGGUGGUUGUGCUUUCUUAUGAUUGGGUUUUGGGAGUUCGUUUUAUAUUCUGGAUACAAGUCUGUUAUCAAAUAUGUGUUUUGCAAAUGAGAAUUUUCUCUCAGGCUGAUUGGUGUCUUUUCAUUUUCUUAAUAGUGUCUUUUGAAGAACAGAUGUGUAUAGUUUUUAUGAAGUCCAGCUUAUCAAUGUUUUCUAUUAUGGCUCAUUCUUUGGGAGCCAUAUCUAAGAAAUCUUUCUAAAAUCCAUGGUUACAAAGAAUUCGUCCAGUGUGUUCUAAUAGAAACAUUAAUUAUAGUUUCAGUUUGGGUUUUCUUUUUCCCUCCCUCCCUUCCUCCCUUCCUCCCUUCCUUUUCCCCUUCCCCUUCCUUUUCCUUCCUCCUUUCCUUCCUUCCUUUUGCCCAUAGAUGCCUGUUCCAGCACCAUUUCUUGAAAAUGCUAUUCUUUCUCCCUUGAUUUGCCUUAGUAUCUUUGCCAAAAAUCAGUUGGCUAGAUUUGCUUGGGUUUAUUUUCUGGACUCCCUCCCCUGUUUCACUGAUCUAUAUGUCUAUUCUUUAACUCACACUACACUGUCUUGAUUACUGAAGCUAUACAGUAUAUCUUAAAAUCAAGUGUGUGAGCACUCCAGUUUUGUUUUUAUCUUUAUAAUUGUUUUUGGCUAUUAUGUUUCCUUUGUAUUUUAAUGUAAAUUGUUAAAUUAACUUACACAUUUCAACAAAAUAUCAUGUUAAAGUUUUUAUUGGAAUUAUUUGAAUCUAUAGAUCAGUUUUGAAAUAAUUGAACUUUUCAUAAUAUUGAGUCUUCCAACUCAUGAACACAUUAUAUCUUUUUAUUUACUUGGACUUUCUUUGAUUGUUCUUCUCUGGGUUUUAUGGUUUUCAGCAUAAUGAUUAUAUAGACAUUUUGUUUGAUUUAUGCUCAAGUAUUUAAUGCUUUAAUGCUAUUAUAAAGAUAUUUUAAAAAUUAAUUUCUAAUUGCUCAUUGCUAGUAUAUAGAAAUAAAAUUGAUUUUUAUUGUUGACCUUUUAUCACGUGACCUUCCUCAAUUCACUUAUUAGUCUUUGCAUUUUUAUUUGUCAUUUAUACAGGAAUUUCUACAUAGAAAAUUAUUGCUCUGUACUUAUAGAUAGCUUUAUUUUUUUCCUUUUUAAUGUGUAUAUAUUCCCCCCUUGAACUACACCUUUAUUGCAGUGGAUAAGACAUCCAGUAUAAGACAUACAAUAUAACAACAAAAGUAUUUUGACAACAAAAGUAUUUACCAUUUUCUUAGUCUAGAGGGAAAACAGUCAGACUUUCAUUAUUAAGUGUGCCAUUUGCUGUAGGGUUUUCGUAGAUGAAGAUUGUCACCCUGAGGAAGUCCCCUUCCACUUGAGUUUGCUGAGAGUAUUUAUCAUGAAUGAAUGUCAAAUUUUGUUAAAGGCUUUUUUUGCAUUUAAUGAGAUGAUUGUAAUUAAUGGUUUUCUUCUUUAGUCUAUUAAUAUAGUAAAUUACAUUGAUUGAUUUUCUAUGUUGAACUAAACUUCUAUUCUGGGGUUAAACUCCCUUGGUUAUGAUGUGCUAUCUUUUUAUAUCUUGCUAGAUUCAUAUCCUAAUUUUUUGAGCAUUUUUGUUCCUAUGAUUAUGAGGGAUAUUGCUCUGUAGAUUUCUUAUAAUAUCUUUAUUUUCAUUUCAGGGUAAUUCUCGCAUUAUAAAACAUGUUGGGAAGUUUUUCUUCAUUUCCUAUUUUCUAGAAAAGUUCAUACAGAAAUGGUGGUGUUUCUUCCUUAAAUGUUUAGUAGAAUUCCCUAGGGAAAACAUCUGGGUCUGAAUAUUUUUUUGUGGGAAGAAUUUUAGCUAAAAUUGCAAUGUAUUUCUUAGAUGUAUGACUAUUCAGGUUAUCACUUUCUUUUGGAAAGAGCUUUGGCAGUUUGUGUCAUUCAAUACAAUUAUUUAUUUCACCUAAUUUGACAUAAAGGUUUUUUAAAACUUUAUAUUUUAUUAUCAUGUAAUAUUUAUAGAAUCUGUAGUGAAAUCCUUGAUUUCAAUAUUCCUGAUAUAAAAAAUAUGUUUAUUUUCUCUUUUUUUUUCUUUAUCAUUUGAAUGAGAGCAGGACAGAAUUUGGCAAUACUUUUUGUGUUAUGGGCUAUAUGGUCAAUAUUUUUUGUGUAGGCAGGUCAUUGGUCUCUGUUUCAACUACUCAACUCUCUUGUUGUAGUGGAAAACAACCAUAGAUAAUAUGUAAAUAAAUGGGUGUAGCUGUGUCCCAAUAAAACUUUAUUUACAAAACAAACAGUGAGGUAGAUUUUGCCCAUGGAAUGCAGUUGGUUGACCACCUGGCUAUAUGAUUACCAACUUUACUGAUCUUUUGAAAACACUACCUUUUGUUUUAAUUGGCCUUUUUAAAUUCUUUUCUCUUUUUGAAUUUAUUUAUGAUGUUAUUUUUUUUCUCCCUGCUUACUAUAGGUAUAAUUUUUUUUCUUUUUGCUAAUUUCAUAAAGUGAAAGUUUAGAUCGAGGAUUUCAGUCCUCUCCUCUUUUCUAACAUAAUCCUUAAUCCUGUAAUUCUUUUUCUUUAGCCCUGCUUUAGCUGCAUCCUUAAAAUUUUAAUACAUUUUAUUUUCAUUUUAAUUGGAUUCAAAAUAUUUUCUAAUAUCCUACAUAACUUCUAAUUGUAGGUUAUUUAGAAGUUUGUGUAUAUUAUCCAAAUUUUUCUGUUGUUGAAAAUUGUAUACUUUAUAGUCAGAUGGCAUAGUUUAUGAUUUAAAUUAUUUUGAAUUUUUUGAAGCUUGAUCUGUGGCACAAAAUAUAUCCUUGUGCAUACUUUAGGUGCACUUAAAAACAAUGUGUAUACUUGAUACUUUCUGGAAAACAAUGUUUGAUGGAAUGUUCUAGAAGUGUUAACUCAUUCACGUUGAGUGAUACUGUUAUGUAGGUUCUUCUAUACAUAGUAAUAUUUUUUUACUUGCUCUAUGUAUUCCUAAGGCAUGAUUCUUGAAUUCACAAACUAUUAGGUUUUGCUUCAUUUAUUUUGAAGCCCUGGUGUAGGUCCAUAUGAGUCUAUGAUUGUUUUGUCUUCUUUGGUGAAAGAACUUCUUGAAGAGUAUAUAAUGCGACAUUUCGCCCUUGGUCAUAUUUGUUGUUCUGAAAUCUACUUUAAUAUUGUAUAGUCACUCCAGCUUCCUUUGGAUUAGCGUUUUCAUUACACAUAUUUUCCCAUCCUCUUACCUAACCCUGUGUAUAUUUUUAAGAAACAAUAAUAUAAUUGGGCCUUGAUUUUUAAUGCAAAAUGACUUACUCUCUGUUUUUAAUUGAUAUCUGUCUUUUGAUUGAGAUGCUUAGAAUUCUUAUAUUUAGUGAAACAAUUGAUAUAGUUGGUUUAAAAUCUAUCACCUGGCUAUUUUUUUUAAAUUUCCAUCUUUUUUUUUCAUCCUUUUGCCUACUUUUCAGCCUCCUUUGAGACAGGUUAGAUUGUAAGUGUUCCCUGUUUGGCACGGUAGAGUAGUACUAUAAAAAUAACUAUGGAAGCUGAAACCAUACAAAGUGAUCUUAAAAAUCAAUAGGAUCAUCUACAAUGGUUUCAUGACCUUUAAUUUUUUUGCCCAAAACAUCUAAAUCUUUCUUACUGUUAUAAUGUGUAGAAAAAUUAAAACUAAAAACACUAAUUUUUUAAUAUACUGUAAUUAAAAACAUUUAGUCUACUGUAAUUCAAAACAUUGAGAAUUGUGGGGCUUACUUUGUUAGUUUUUGUAACAUAGUAGUUUGGAAAGUGUUGCAUUCUUCUCAUAGUAAAAUUUACAAUAUGGAGUAAGCCUCUUUUCUAUGUUUUGGAAAAUUGUUAUACUCUUUUAUAAGUUUGGAUUUGUUUUUGACAUUUGGUCUUUUGUGUUUUCAAUGUCAUGAAAUAUUUUUGAGAGUUUCUUUAAUCUGAAGUUUUUUCAAAACCUUUACUUUCUCUUUUUUUCUCACAAGCCCCUUUACUCAUUAUUGUCAGUAUAUUUGUUGUCACUCAGGUCUUCUGGCUGCAUGUCUAGAGUCUCUUGGACAAUGGCAGUGUACAGGUCAUGGUCAGCUACUUUUUUCCAUAGGAUCCCUUAUGUUCAAGUUGAAUUUCACUUACAGCAUCAUCACUUUUUGUUUCUUGCCUGCAUUUUCAUCUUUGUCUCCAAUUCUGUCUUUCAAUUACCUUGUUUGUUACAUGUAAGGUUAUCACUGAGUGACCAAACAGCAACAAAACUAUUCGCUAUACUGUCUGUGCAGGAACUGAAGAACAGAGUGCAGGGACCAGUCCUUGAUAGGUUUUGAAAAGAGUGAUAUGAUUGGUCACUGAUAAUGAUGCAUAUCUGUUUUUUUUUUUACAUAGUUAUUUGUGAACUGAAGAGCUUGCAGUAAAGUCUAUAUGCGGUUAUUUGAAGUUAUUAUACAAUACUGAAAUAUGAUAUGUUUUGCAGAGGUCAACAAAAUCAUUGACACUGAAAUUUAGGGUUUAAACCAUGAUAAGUAAAAUGUGUGCAUAUCAGAAAAAUGAAAAAUAAGGACCAUUUGAAUUUUUAUGAUUCCAUUUUAUCUCUAUCAUUGUUCUAUUAUCCAUAUAUCUUUCCUAAUUUUAUUUAAAUAUUUUUAAUAGAAUUUACAAUACAUAUUAUUCAAUUAUCACAAAUAAUUAUUCAGUUAUCUUCAAAUAGUAUUGUAUCACCUUAAGUAAGGUAGAAGAACCUUGCAAUAAUAUAUCUCCAAUUCUUCCCUUACUGCUUUUUCUGGUAUUUCUAUCAUACAUUAUAUUUUUACAUAUGUUGUAGACCCAAACAUAAAUAGUUAUUUCUUUUCCUUUACAUAGUCAAUUACCUUUUUUUAAAAUUUUAUUAUUAUUAUACUUUGAGUUUUAGGGUACAUGUGCACAACGUGCAUGUUUGUUACAUAUGUAUACAUGUGCCAUGCUGGUGUGCUGCACCCAGUAACUCGUCAUUUAGCAUUAGGUAUAUCUCCUAAUGCUAUCCCUCCCCACUCCCCGCACCCCACAACAGUCCCCGGUGUGUGAUGUUCCCCUUCCUGUGUCCAUGUGUUCUCAUUGUUCAUUUCCCACCUAUGAGUGAGAACAUGCAGUGUUUGGUUUUUUGUCCUUGCGAUAGUUUGCAGAGAAUGGUGGUUUCCAGCGUCAUCCAUGUCCCUACAAAGGACAUGAACUCAUCAUUUUUUAUGGCUGCAUAGUAUUGCAUGGUGUAUAUGUGCCACAUUUUCUUAAUCCAGUCUAUCAUUGUUGGACCAUAGUCAAUUAUCUUUUAGAGCCAUUACAAAUAAGAAAAUUGUCUUUUUAUAUUUACCUUUAUUUUGAGCAUUCCCAGACUUCAUUUUAUUUUAGUGCAGAUUCAAGUUUCUGUCUGGAAUUAUAUGUUCUCUGAGUAAAAAGUUUCUUUAAUAUUUUCUGUAGCACAGAUCUGCUAGCAAUGUAGUCUUUUCAUGUUUUUGUCUGUUUUCUGAAAAUGUGCUGAUUUCAUCUUAAGUUUUUAAAUGUAUUUUUGCUAGCUAUUAAAAUGUAGGUUGGCAGUUUCUUCUUUUCUUUUCUAGAAAUUUAAAGAUGUCACUACAUUUUUCUUCUAACUCGCAUUGUUUCUACUGAGAAAUUUGCUAUAAUCUUAUGUUUGUUCUUCUGUAUGUAGUGUGUUUUGUUCCCCCACUGGCUUCCUUUUAGUUUUUCUCUUUAUUUUGGAUUUGUGGCAGUUGGCAUUAUAUGCAAAAUAAACACCAUGUCUUGGUUUUCAUUUGUUUGAUAUUAAUUUUUCCUGCUUGGAGAUUUUCUGCAUUUCUUGGAUCUGUGGUUUUAUAUUUUUUAUUAUUUUGGGGAAAUUAUUGGUCUUUACAUAUAUUUAUUAAUCCCCAUUUUUUUUCAAUUUCUGGGAAUACAACUGCAUAUAUUUUAGGUGAAUUGGUAUUUUCAUACAGCUCUUAGAUGCUCUCAUACAUUUUCCUCUUUGUAUUUUUGAUUGCAUAAUUUCUAUUGACUUAUCCUCAAGUUUAUUGACUCUUUUCUUGGUUGACUUUAGUCUACUGAUGAACUCACUCAAGUAAUUUAUCUCUAACAUGAUAGUUGUUUUUUUAAGUGUUAUUAUUUUUAGUAUUUCCACUUGACUUUUUAUAGUUUCCAACUCUCUGCUGAAAUUUUCCAUCUGUUUGUGCAUAUUGUGCAUAUUUUACACUAGAUCCUUUAACAUACUAAUUAUAGCUAUUUUAGGACCCUGCCUGAUAGUUCCAACACCUGUAUAAUUUGUAAGUCUGAUUGUAUUGAUUGUUUUGUCUCUUUGAAGUAGUUCUCCUUUGCCCCACCCCCACCACAUAACUAUUCAGGUAUUCCAUACUAUUUCAUUGAGUGACAGACAUCUCAUAUAGAAUAGCAGAGACUGAAGUGAGCAGUAUUUUCACCUGUAAGUGGGCAUGCCCCUUCACAGGCAGGUGAAGUGGGGUACAUAGUCAACUUGGUCAGGAGUUGAGCAAGGUUUGGUUUUUCUUUGUUAGAAUUACUGUCAGCACACCACAGGCUUCAAAUUCUUCUCCUGAUGCUUUUUUCUCAUAGUGGAAGCUGAGGUGCCAGAAGAUUUUUCUGUGUGCCUGUCUUCUGCUCUCAGCUUUUAGCCACAACUGUAGGCCUGUACCACAGAGCAGGGAGAUCCCCUUUACCCUUCUCUAACUAUAUACUGUUUUUGCUUAUCGCCUUGGCUUGCUAGGCUAACAUAAUCAAUUGAAGGGCAUUUAUUUGGAUCUAGUCUUUCCCUAUCCAGAUAAGCUCUAUGUGCCUGAACUUUAGAGGUACAAUUUCUUAGCAUUUACCCUAUUUUCUCUAUGCCAGGUAGGAAACUCUGUCUUGUAUGUUUAAUAGGUCUUAUCUGGGAGAGAGUUUCCUCUCCCUACCCCCGUGGUAGGAAACCUCUGUAUUGGUAUAAGUUUCUGGGCUGGGAACAGUUCAAUAUUCUUCCCGCAGAGGCAUGUGCUUUUUCUCUUCAUCUUUUCCCCAGUAACAAUGGCUCUGUACCUGUACUCUGGUGGUGACAGUGCUGUUGCUCAUUUCCCUUUGGCUCAUGUGUUUUGGUCCAUAUGAUGGAAAAGUCUGAGCAUGGCUAUGAAUGAGGCUUUAUGUUUAUCCAGCAGCAGCAGCCUAUCCCCUCCCCUUCUCCUCUAGGUCAGUACAAUUUUGGGAUGUUUCCUUCAGUUUCCUUUCUUGCCUCCAGUCUUUCUUAAUGUACCUGGCGAAGAUGACACAAAAGGGGCUUGUUCACCAGGUACAUUAAGAAAGAGCUUGAGAGUAGAUGGCAACUUCACCUGUGUCUGCAGCUCCCAGUCUUGAGCCCCACCAGUUCUAGGUCAGGAAGGACUAGUUUGAGUUGUUCUAGUAAAUAUGGACCUGAGGACACAUUACAUGAAGGAGGAACAACGUAUAUCAACUUUCAGAAGCAUGAGAGAGCAUUUUGCUUUAAGAGGACAAGCAAUAGAAUUACACUGAGCAGACAGUACAUUUGGUGCUGGACUUUGGCUGAGACUGUGAGAAAAAAGAGGACCCAUGAUCCCAAAUUUCAGGUUACUUGUGGUCUGGAGGUUUUUUGUUUGUUUGUUUUAUUUUAAUUACAAAAUGUGCUUUCUGAUGGAGAGGACAAAUUAAUAAUGGAAAAUAGUAUAAAUCUGAAGAAUUCCUCUUGUGUUAUGCAUGGUUUGUUUGACCCCUACAAAUCCUAUAUUGAAAUGUGAUCCUCAGUGUUGGAGGUGGGGCUCAGUGGAAGGUGUUUGGGUUAUGGGAGUGAAUCCCUUAUGAAUAGAUUAAUCCCCUGAGAGGUGAGUAGGUUCUUCCUCUAGUUGAUAUAAAGAGUCUGUCAUCUCCAGCUCUCUCUCUUGCUUCUUGUCCCACUCUGCACAUGUCUGCUCACUUCACCUUCCACCAUGAGUGGAAGCUGCCUGAGGACCUCACCAGAAGCAGACUGUGGCACCAUGCUUCUUGUACAGCAGCAGAACUAUGAGCCAAAUGAACCUCUUUACUUUUUAAGUUAUCCAGCUUCAGGUAAUUUUUUUUUUUUUUAAGAUAGAGUCUCACACUGUCAUCUGAGCUGCAGUGCAGUGGCGUGAUCUCAGCCCACUGCAACCUCCACCUCCCGGGUUCAAGCGAUUCUCCUGCCUCAGCCUCCCAAGUAGCUGGGAUUACAGGCACCAGCCCCCAUGCCUGGCUACUUUUGUGUAUUUUUAGUAGAGAUGGGGUUUCACUAUGUUGGCCAGGCUGGUCGCGAACUCCUGACCUCAUGAUCCACCUGCCUUGGCUUCCCAAAGUGCUAGGAUUACAGGUGUGAGCCACUGCGCCCGGCCUCAGGUGUUCUUUCAUAGCAACACAGAUGGUCUAAGACACCUUGAAAACUUGAAAAAUUUGAAUUGCAGUAAUGGUAGAAGACCUCCCAUUUACUUGCAUUUCCUUAGUUAAAUCUCUGUCUUUCUAAACAGCAAGAAGAAGUUCAGGUAUCUCUCAUAGUUCUUCAAAGUCUCUCUUUCGUUUUGUUAUUACAGUAUGUGUGGAGUCACCUAACCAUCAUCAUCCUGUGACCUUGUGAAUAGGAAUUUCUGUGCUCUCUUUAAAAAGGAAUAAACUGUGGCUCAGAAAGGCCCAGAAACAUGCCCAACUAGUGUGUAAAGACCAUGUGACCUUUCUAUCCUUUUGGUUCCUCACCUGGUGAAUAGGUGAGACGGGUUUUCUGGUGACAGGUACAAUUAUUAACACCCUUGAGUCAGAGCUAUGGAGGUUUUUGGGGGGACAUCAGUCAUUCAUCCUAGGCAUGCAGUGUGAGAACUGCAGGAUUGUGAUAUAAUGCAAAACUAGAAUCUAGUCUUUAUUCCUCUGGUGAAUAGUGGCGUUGCAUGACUGUCACAUUUCAUACCUAGAGUCUCUACUGCUGAAAUGAGAUUAAUUUUAGGUAACCCCAUACAGGGGCUACGUGAGAAAGAACACCAGUAAUGAUCUGUGCUUGAAAGAUGACUUUGAACCUAACAUAUUAAUAGAAUUCACAAUAAGAUAUGGCUGUACCAUGAGCUCAGCAGGAUCAAGGCACUAUAUAAAUAGGAGGCAGCAUUAUUUUUACAAUAAUUGAAUGCUGCUCAUAUUCCGGCUCUCAUAACACUUAACCCUAUCCUGUUUUCCAAAUUGUAUGGGUGGUGAUUUGCCUGGGUGAUGUGUGUCAUAUCAUUUGUGUAUAUAGACAAUCUUCUUUGGCUGCUAGGGUUGUAAAUUGCUGUGCAGAGGGAUGGGAAGGUUUUAGUGCACUGUUUCUACUUACAUUUGCAAGGUUUGGCUCCAUCCCAUCCUCUCUGGUCAUUUUUCAAGGAUCCAGGAAGAACAUAUAAAAUAAUAAGCCCUUUGCAAUUACAUGUCCUAUCGAUUUGUAUAUUUUUUCUUAGACUAGAUUGCAGAUAUUAUUUAGAUACAGAUACACAGACAUUUAUGGCAAAUUAUGUUAGAAGAAAACAUGCUGUAAUUUGAAUUUGAUUUUCCAUGGAUACAAUAAGAACUUGGAAUAAUAUUCCUAGCCAAUGGGCAGAAUGCCCAAAUCUGCUUCAUUAUUUUACAAGAAAAAUGAGGACCAUCACUUUAUUUAAUAACCUGGGAAUUAUUUCUAAUUUCUGUGAAGUUGAAUAAAAUGCUUCAAAUUAUACUAAAAAUGUCCUUGUUAUCUUUAUAUUUUACUCUGAUGACAAACAAGAAAGUGAAGGGACUCUUCCCCCCGGCUCAGAAGGUUUUCUCCAGGUAGAGCUUACCUGCCAGGGGAUUUUGGAGGAGAUUUUAGCCUCAUUUGACAGCUUUUUGGGGUAGGAGGAUUGGGGGAUACAAAAGACCCAAGGAGGUUUCUCAUGGUAUACCUGCUUUAGCUUCUUCCACAUGCUCCUGCAGUAAGCCAAUUGUAAACAUGAAGUGUUUUGCACUUUUAUCUUCUUUGAAUUGUCUUUUCUGGUCUUCUGGGAGACCCCCUUUCUCAGCUCUGCCUUUUUCUAUGGAUUGUUUGCAACAAACGUCAUCCCUGCCUUCACAGACUGCAGUGGACUUGUCCUGCUCCUAGUCCCUCAGCCUUCCAUUCCUCAAUCUGUGGUUAGGUGGACAUGUCAAAUGAAACAACACUUUUACUUCAGUGUUGGCCAAAUUUCAAAGAAGCCACACAAAACCUUUCUUGCACAAUCACAUGAUCAAAAUUCUCUUUAAUCUCAGCCACAGUAGGCUCCUUGACCUAUGAUCAUGACCAAAAAUAUCAGCUGUUUAACUUCUUUCUUUUCUUUCAUCAGGCACAUGGGAUGACUGAAGACAUUGACUAGAAAUUGGGAAGAUUUAUGAUGAUUACAGUUCUUUUGAGCAAACCCUUCAGCAUUUUUGCAAAAAAAUGAUUUCAAGUUUGUCUUUUUCAUGGGCUAUACUCUUAUCCUGACAACAUUCAGUAUUUUCAGGAGUAUCUUAAAGUCCUGCUUUUCAUGUUGUUUCUAAAUGAGUUUGCUAACCCCAGGAAAAAAUAACUUUGAUUUUCAAGUGAAGAUGUCCUCACUCAGAUUCUUCUUUCCCUUUUCUCUCCAUCCUUUUCUCCUUGCUUCACUCAGCUUGUCCUCCCUAACAGUAAAGCAAAGAACCAUGUUCUGUGUCUAGUGCUGCAAGAGAGAGAGGUUUCAGAACCAUCAGUUUUCAUUAUGAGAAGUCAGAGCAAAAGCCCGCGUCUAUGAACUAGGAAUCUUUGAUCUUUUCUAUGACUUGGCUUCAGACUCUUUUUGCCAGUGGUGGAGAUAAAUUCAAACUGAUUUAUCUUCAUGCUGUUUCAGUGAGGCAAUUUGUACUGUCAGGUCAUUAAGAGUGGACACUGGAGAGAGAAAAUUCUGACCAUUAGCAAUAUCACCUUGAGGGAUGUUUUGUAACAUUUUGGUGGCUCAGUUUUCUCAUCUGUAGAAUGAGGCUAAAAAUGGGACCUAGUUUAUAAUGGUCUUAGGCUGGUUAUAUAAACUCAGUGCUCACAUUUUGAAAGUGUCCCAUAAAUGGCAAUUUUUGUUAUGGUUAAGCCAUGUUUGAGAUAUUGCCACACAUUUUCAGGAAUGGUCAUCGGUGUUAGGGGAGUAGGCUCAGCGUUAAUGAUUUUUUUGACACUGGCACCUAGUAGAGUGUCAAGUAUCUAAUAAUUGCUCAGAAAAUGAUAGUUUAAUAUAAGGAAAAAUAUCUCAGGGAUCAAAACUACAAGCUUGGGAUCUGAAUUAUUUAAGAUACCAAUUUAGUUACAGUAACAGAGACAGAUGCAAACUAUCAGUGACAUAAACAAGAUAUUAUUUCUCUGCCACAUAAAGAUCCAAAGAGACUAUCUGGGCUAGUGAAUUGUUCUACAAUCAUCAAGGACCCAGCCUGCCUCUGUCUUGCUUUUGUCCUGCAGCUUCCAUUCAUGGUCCUUGAGGGCUGCAUUAGUUGUUGCCAUCACACCUGCAUUUCAGCCAGCAGGAUGAGGGGAAGAAGAGAAGAACAUUCCAUCUCCCUUUAAGGGUACAGGCUUAAAGUUACACAAUUUACCUUUCCUUACAACCCACUCAUAUUGCCAUGGUCAUCUACAAAGUAGGUUGGAAAACGUAUAUUUUAGCUGGGCAGCUUCCAUUCUAUAAGAAAAUCAGAAUCUAUUUUAUAUAUGCAUGGCUGGGAAAGUACCAUGUCAUUUUUCCUGAGAGGCCUAAGUCCCCACAUUGAGCUGCACUGAGCUGUUAUGUUCAGGGGCAGCUCUGGUAUAUGAGAAACAAGAACUCAUCAGUGCUCAGCCCUUGCUCUCAAGGAAGAGAUCCUAAUUUAACUAUUUCAGUUAAUGGCAUGAUUUAUCUUCCAAUCGCCCAGAUUGGCUUCCUUGGGCUCUUCCAUCUCCCUCAACAACAACAACAAAAAUCCAAUAAGUUGCUUUGUCUCCUCUAAUGCCUCUUCCAUACAUCUCCUCUUUUCCACUCAUGCUACCACCCUAAUUUAGGCCUAAUUACAUACCACUCAGACAAUUGCAAUUACAUCCAAAUUGGUCUCCCUUUCCCCUGUUUCUCCACUUUCUAAUUCACUCUGCAAUACAACUGCCAAGUUAAUCUUCCCUGAAUACAGCUCUGAUCAUCUCUGCCCUGCUUAGAACCCCUGAAUAUCUCCCAAAUGCCUAUUUCACAAAAGCCAAGGGCCUCUCUCAAGGCUCUCCACAUUCUGGCUAGCGCUUACCUUUCUAGCUUGAUUUAUUCUUCUUCCACAGAUCUCAUGUUUCACAAAUUGCUCCGUAUUUUCUUAGGUCCACUCUUCUGCAAAGAACAUUUUGCUCCUCAUGGAAUGUCUUAUCCCCUUUCUGUGGAUUAAAACCAUUUCCAUUCUUUACAGCUUAGUACCGGUGUUACUACUGGAGACCGUUUCCUGUAGGGAAGGGAUAGUCCCCUCCCAUGAACUCACUUUGGAGUUUAUUUUAACUCUCGAUUGUGGAAUGCCUCAUAUGCACUUUUAAUAAAACAAAUCAUAUGCGUACAGCUCAAUAGGUUUUCAAAAGGUGAAUACGCCCAGGUAACCAGCACACCAAUGGACUAAGAGAGUUCUAGCAGGACCUAGGAUUCCCCUUAUGCCUCCGUCUGUUUGCAACUUCUUUAGGCCCACAUCGAAAUGAACCACCAUCUUGAUUUCCAAAGCUACCAAUCAGUUUUUACCCUGCAUAAAUCGAAUCACACAGUCAUUAUCCUUUUCCGCUUAUUGUCUUUCUGAUUCAAGCUUAUGUUCAUAUGAUUCACCUAUAUUGUUACAUACAGUUGUUAAUAAUUUAGUCUUUGCUAUAUAAUAUUCCAUUGGGUGAAAAUUCCGGAAUUUAUUCCAUUGCAUUGUUGAUGGGUAUUUGGAUAGUUUCCAAUUUGGAGCUAUUACAAAUAGUGCUGCUAUCAGCAUUCUACUUUGUGCGUUUUGGUGAACAUAGGAAUGUAUUUGCUAGGAUAGAAAAUACAAGGUCAUGGGUAUGUUCUAAUUUAGUUGGUAAUGGAAAACAGUUUUCUAAGGUGGUUUUACCAAUCAACACUCCUAACAGCAGUAAAAAGAGUUUCAGUUGUGCCACACUCUUAACCACACUUAGUAUUUUCUGAAUUCUUAAUUUUAGCCAUUCUAAAGUGGGCAUUUAGUGGUAUCACAUUGUAGUUUUAAUUUGCAAUUCUCUGGUGGCUGACAAGUUGAAUAUCCUCUUUCGUAAAGAGUCUAUUCACAUAUUUUGCCCAUUUUUCUAUUGAGAUUUCUGUUUUUUUUUAAAAAAAAUUCAGUUAUAGGAAUCAUUUAUAUGUUCUCAGUAUGAAUCCUUUGUUGCUUAUAUGCUUUGUCAAGUCUUACAUACAUUCCAAAGUUAUUUAAGCUCAAGAAGUGCAGAAGUAAAUGUGUUUACGUGUGUGUGUGUGUGUGUGUGUGUGUGUGUGUGUAUCCCAUUCUAUUUGAAGUGUCUGGCAUAGUGCUCAACAUGUAGUAGGUCCUCAAUAAACAAUUGGAAAAUGAAUGAAUAAUUCAAUGACUACCUUAUAAUGCCAAGAUAUUAUGAAAGCAAGGAUCCUCUUUCAUUCAUUUUAUUCUCCUCAUCCAGAGUUGUGUUGACAGUAUUUCUUUAAUUAAUCUCUGUCAAAUAAAUGACUGAAUAGCUUCCAGUAACCAGAAACACGCCAUUGUGUGCGAAGUUCUCCAAGGGAGAGCUCUCAUGGUAGUGACCAAUGAAGACCCAGUAAGCUGCUUCCUUCCUGCUGCUGGUGUGAAGGAUUCUGAAAUACCUUGAUUACACUUGAAAAAAAAAUGCUGGGGUUUUUCAGCUCAUGGAUAACUCCAAAAGUAGGAUUUAAAAAAUGCAAAGUGCCCAUAUGCUCAGCUCAUACUGAGAAAUGGUCUCAAGAGUAAUUAAAAACAGUUACAAAAGCAAUGGAGUUGUAACAAUUGAAAUAUCACACACAUAUGUGUGCACUGAAUCAGAAAACCCCAUAAUACUCAGUCACUGAAUAUUUCUGCGACUCUGAGGUUUGUGAUACAGAGUGAACAUCCUUAUUCAAUGCUUACAUCUGAGAGCUGAAUCACACCUCAGAGAUUUCACCGGUUUUUCUAGUCCUAGCUUCUGUUUUUAAGCUGUGUGCUUUGCUUCAGCUGAAAGGCUUCAGGCUAGUGAUUGUGGCUUUAUGUGUUUUACCACUGCUAGUGCUCAACAACCCAAUAAUAAUAAUGACAUCAGUAUAUUUGUGUCGCAGGAUGUCUCUUUUCUUAUGCAGGUGUGUGAUGAAAGGUUUUUUUUUUAAAUUUUUCCACUACUGCAUUUAAAAUAGAAACAUAUAAUGUAUAUGCUGAUUUCUGAAUCUGAUGAAUUUAAUUUUUGCACUCCAUUCUGCAAAUGACUAACCAAAUAGGACGUGGAACGUAGAGGCCACAGAACAGGGGUAAAGAUCUGAAUACAAUGAUGACAAGAAAAAAAUCAGAGUGGUCUUGCAGAGCUAGGAGCUAGGUGUUACAGUGAAAAAUCACAAACCUAUGUGCUAGAACAAAGGUUGACAGAUUUCUUUUUUCUGGAAGGUGUCAAAGAGAUAAUAUUUUUUACUUUGCAGGUCAUACAGUUUUUGUUGCACCUGCUCGACUCUACUGGUGUGUGUAUCAAAGCAACCAAAGACAAUACAUGAACUAACAAGUCUGUCUGUGUUCCAAUAAAAUUUUAUUUACAAAAAUAGGUGCUCAGUCAGAUUUGGCCUUUGGGCUGUAGUUUGCUGAUUCCUGAUCUAGAAGAUUACUACCUGAUAUAAUUUGGAUAUUUGUCUCCUCCAGAUCUCAUGUCAAAAUUUGAUGCCCAGUGUUGGAGGUGGAGCCUAUUGGGAGGGGCUUGAGUCCUGGGGGUGGCUCCCUCAUGAACGGCUUGAUGCCAGUUUUGAAGUAAUGAAUGAGUUCUUGCUCUAUUAGUUCCUUAGAGAACUGAUUGCUAAAAAGAGCUUGGCACCUCCCUCCCACCUCUCUCUCUUCUUUCCACUCUUGCUAUCUGAUGCUGGCUCUCCUUCACCUUCUGCCAUGAGUGGAAGCUUCCUGAGGCCCUCUCAAGAAGGAAAUGCUGGUGCCAUGUUUCUUGUACAGCCUGCAGAACCGUGGGCCAAAUAUACCUCUUUUCUAUAUAAAUUACCUGGCUUCAAGUAUUCCCAUAUGGAAACACAAAUGGAUUAAGACGCUAUCGAUUGGUUUAUGAUCUUCACUUCUCUAUACUUUUAUCUGUAAAAUGGGUCUAAUGAUACCUGUGCUACCUGCUCACAAAUAGUAAGAAUGGCCUGAGAUACUGUGAAAGGCUUUUGUAAACUCAUACACUCUAUGGUGCUGUGCAAAUGGUAGGUAUUAAAAGCAGACAAUUUUAGUUUGAGAAGGAGACAUAUUAUUAAUGUUUCCCAAGCCUUUUGUUUUUGUUUUUGAAAUAGUAAAGCCAAGAUUCAAAGAGCUUAAGAUAUAUGCCAAGGUCUCACAGUUCGAUGACAGCAGAUUCCGUGUUAAAAUAUCAUUGUAAUGGAUAGGAACAAUAAUUAUAAGAGACAGUGGCUCAUAUAGUUACCCUUCUAAAUAAUAUGUCCUCCCAUCCCUUCAUUUGGAGCAUGAUAGUAAAUACCACUUAUUUCCUCUCCUACUCAGAAGAUACUCUGAGAAGCACUGAGCCUAGUUUUCUCUCCAGGGAAGAGUAACUCCCCAGAGGUAUCUGAAUUUAAAGAUGUGAUAUGGAUCUGAGAGUGCCUUUGUCUGCAAUGUCUCCACUUUGCUCUCAGACAAGACAGAUGUAUGAGAGGAUUACUCAAGCAGAUGAUUGGCCCUUUGCUCCUGGAUCUUCUUGGCCAUCUAUAAUUCAACAUUUAACAAUUUAAAGGUAGGAGCAAUAAUAUCUAUGGGAAAUAGUGCUCAGGAUUCAUAUACUCUCCAAAUUCAGAAUUUAUCAAAACUGUUGGGCGAAAGUUGUUUGGCCUUUGAGGUAUUCUAGAUGACACCUGCUUUAGUCAUUGUAGAGCAAGCUUCAGUCUUGCAUAACUACUACUGCAAUAGACUAGGUUAUAUACCCACUCCCCUGAACCUUUUCUCCAGACUUCAGGACAAGGGACGGGCUGCCCCUUUUCUAUAACCAUAUGCCCACCUGUGAACCAACUGGGGAAAUUUAGUUCAUUUCUAAGAUGAUAUCAUACUAAAGGGAGCACUGAGAUUUAGGCAACAUGUUCUAGGUUGAGGGUAGGAUUUCCGACAGGUGGGAAUAACAAACCACAGUCUAGUCUUGGCUCUGCUAUCAAACAAAUGUUGGACCUUAUGCCUGUCUUUUUCUAUAUGUGGGCCUUAUUUUACCCAAUUAUACAACAAAGUGAUUAGGCUAGAUGAUUUAUAAGGUCUUCCCCCAACAAAUUUUGUUCUUCUUCAACUCUACGAGUUGGUUCUGUUGGUGGUACGACUCUUGAUUUAUUUAUAAACUGCUUUUAUUGAGCACUGACUAUAUCCAUAGAAACUUUUCCAAAAAGCCUAAAUUACUGAUAUUAGUGAAAUGCCUAAAAUCCAUUUGGGUAGACAAAGCAGGAUAUGAUGUAUCUGCAGUGGAUGGCAAAAAAAAGUGAUAAGCCAGAAAUCAUCGUAUAGUCAAGGGAAUGUUUCUUGGUAAAUGUUAAGUUUUAUCCAAUAUACAAAUUGACAGCAUUCAGUGACAACCAUGCAGCAAAACUUUUAAAGAUUGGUAGAAUUUGGAUAUGCUGAGGAAAAGGCAUGAUUCAAAGGUAAACACUAUCAGAUUUUUUUAUUUAGGAAUGGUCUCAUUAGAAGAGAGUAUUUACGAAGGAAAAUUAGAAGGUAAUUUUGGGGAAAUAAUUUGGUAUGUAAAAAAGGAUAUCCUUGAAUACCCAAAUAAGCAACUUAAGCUUAUUUUCCUAGAGGCAGUGACAGUGUAAAUAUUUCUGGGCAGUUGAAUUAAUGAUAUAGGCCAACUUUUAAGAUUAUUUGACAGCAGUAUAUUGAAUAGAUUGGAAAGAAGAAAAUUACAUAAAGCAGGAUUAUUUGGGCAGCAAUGGCAACAAUGCGGGUAUGAGGUAAUGAGAUGCUGAUAGUGGUAAGAAUAAGCAGAUGUAAGAAAUAUUACUGAUGGGCCGGGCACGGUGGCUCACGACUGUAAUCCCAGCACUUUGGGAGGCCGAGGCGGGCGGAUCACGAGGUCAGGAGAUCGAGAUCAUCCUGGCUAACACGGUGAAACCCCGUCUCUACUAAAAAUACAAAAAAUUAGCUGGGCAUGGUGGUGGGCGCCUGUAGUCCCAGCUACUCGGGAGGCUGAGGCAGGAGAAUGGCGUGAGGCAGAGCUGGCAGUGAGCCAAGAUUGCACCACUGCACUCUAGCCUGGGCAACAGAGCAAGACUCCAUCUCAAAAAAAAAAAAAAAUUACUGAUGAAGAAGUCACAGAACUUGGCUGUCUUUUGGGUCUGGAACUUAUGUCAAGGAUUUAUUUCAGGGUUUUGGGAUGACAGUAACUCGAUUGCCUUGCAUCUGUAAUUAUAUUAUUAUUUUUGUAUGGAUAAACUGUGAAGAUUGUGUUACAUUGUAUGGAUGUAUGGAUAAAUUGUGAACAUAGGUGUGAACAUUAUGUGACAAUGCAUUUAUUUUAUCCAUAGACAUUGCCACAUAAUACCAUGCAGAAGAGAAGGACUCAGGCAGGAUUUAUUUCUCUAUAAAGAUUUAAGGACUAUAUUGAUUUAUAAUUUGAAAUGAGCUAAACCACACAUAUUUUUCAGGUUAUUAAUUUUGAGGUUAUUUUUUCCUUCAUCUUUACCAAUAUCCCACUAGUAUAUUGUGACUCUCAUUCAUAAUGAGGUAACUUGGUCUGUAUCAUUGGUUCUGUUAUUUUUUUUAAGACACAAUCUUCAAUUUAUUUAUUCUUUUGACAAUUCAAUAUGUUUUUAAAAUAUUUACAGAGUUGUGUAAAUAUCACCAUAAUUAAUUUUAGAAAUUUUUAUCACUUCCAAAAGAAACCUCAUACCAAUUAGCAGUUACUUGCUCCUGAUGCCUAUAGCCCUAGGCAACCACUAAUCCAAUAUCUCUAUCUCUUUAGAUUUGUCUAGUCUGGAUAUUUCAUACAAAUAGAAUCAUACAAUAUGAGGUCUUCUGAGACUCACCUCUUUCACUUAGGAUGUUUUCAAAGUUCACCUGUGUUGUAGCAUGUAUCAGUACUUCACUUUUUUUCUGGCCAAAUAAUACGCAUUGCAUUGCUAUGUAACAUUUACUUAUUCACUCAUCAAUUGAUUAAUAGAUUGUUUUCCCUUUUUGACUAUUGCGAUUAAUAUUGCUAUAAAAAUUUAUGUGCAAAUUUUGGUGUGUGCAUGUCUUUUCAUUUUUUUUGAGCAUAUACUUAGAAGUGGAAUUUUGGGGUCAUAUGAUGACUCCUAGCAUUUGAGGAACUGGCAGGCUGUUUCCAAAGUAGAUACACCAUUUUGCAUUCCCAUCAGCAUUGCAUGAAGGCUUCACUUUCUCCACACCCUCACCAACACGUUAUUAUAUAUAUAUUUUUUAUUACUAUACUUUAAGUUUUAGGGUACAUGUGCACAAAAUGCAGGUUAGUUACAUAUGUAUACAUGUGCCAUGUUGGUGUGCUGCACCCAGUAACUCGUCAUUUAACAGUAGGUAUAUCUCCUAAUGCUAUCCCUCCCCCUCCCCCCACCCCACAACAGGCCCCAGUGUGUGGUGUUCCCCUUCCUGUGUCCAUGUGUUCUCAUUGUUCAAUUCCCACCUAUGAGUGAGAACAUGCGGUGUUUGGUUUUUGUCCUUGCGAAGGAUUUUUGUCCUUGCGAUAGUUUGCUGAGAAUGAUGGUUUCCAGCUUCAUCCAUGUCCCUACAAAGGACAUGAACUCAUCAUUUUUUAUGGCUGCAUAGUAUUCCAUGGUGUAUAUGUGCCACAUUUUCUUAAUUCAGUCUAUCAGUGUUGGAAAUUUGUGUUGGUUCCAAGUCUUUGCUAUUGUGAAUAGUGCCGCAAUAAACAUAUGUGUGCAUGUGUCUUUAUAGCAGCAUGAUUUAUAAUCCUUUGGGUAAAUACCCAGUAAUGGGAUGGCUGGGUCAAAUGAUAUUUCUAGUUUCUAAAUCCCUGAGGAAUCACCACACUGACUUCCACAAUGGUUGAACUAGUUUACAGUCCCACCAACAGUGUAAAAGUGUUCCUAUUUCUCCAUAUCCUCUCCAGCACCUGUUGUUUCCUGACUUUUUAAUGAUCGCCAUUCUAACUGGUGUGAGAUGGUAUCUCAUUGUGGUUUUGAUUUGCAUUUCUCUGAUGGUCAGUGAUGAUGAGCAUUUUUUCAUGUGUCCUUUGGCUGCAAAAAUGUCUUCUUUUGAGAAGUGUCUGUUCAUAUCCUUCACCCACCUUUUGAUGGGAUUGUUUGUUUUUUUCUUGUAAAUUUGUUUGAGUUCAUUGUAGAUUCUGGAUAUUAGCCCUUUGUCAGAUGAAUAGAUUGCAAAAAUUUUCUCCCAUUCUGUAGGUUGCCUGUUCACUCUGAUGGUAGUUUCUUUUGCUGUGCAGAAUCUCUUUAGUUUAAUUAGAUCUCAUUUGUCAAUUUUGGCUUUUGUUGCCAUUGCUUUUGGUGUUUUAGACUUGAAGUCCUUGCCCAUGUCCUGAAUGGUAUCACCCGGGUUUUCUUCUAGGGUUUUAAUGGUUUUAGGUCUAACAUUUAAGUCUUUAAUCCAUCUUGAAUUAAUUUUUGUAUAAGGUGUAAGGAAGGGAUCCAGUUUCAGCUUUCUACAUAUGGCUAGCCAGUUUUCCCAGCACCAUUUUAAAUAGGGAAUAGCACCAUUUAUUAAAUAGUUUCCCCGUUUCUUGUUUUUGUCAGGUUUGUCAAAGAUCAGAUGGUUGUAGAUAUGUGGCAUUAUUUCUGAGGGCUCUGUUCUGUUCCAUUGGUCUAUAUCUCUGUUUUGGUACCAGUACCAUGCUGUUUUGGUUACUGUAGCCUUGUAGUAUAGUUUGAAGUCAGGUAGUGAGAUGCCUCCAGCUUUGUUCUUUUGGCUUAGGAUUGACUUGGCAAUGUGGGCUCUUUUUUGGUUCCAUAUGAACUUUAAAGUAGUUUUUUCCAAUUCUGUGAAGAAAGUCAUUGGUAGCAUGAUGGGGAUGGCAUUGAAUCUAUAAAUUACCUUGGGCAGUAUGGCCAUUUUCACGAUGUUGAUUCUUCCUACCCAUGAGCAUGGAAUGUUCUUCCAUUUGUUUAUAUCCUCUUUGAUUUCAUUGAGCAGUGGUUUGUAGUUCUCCUUGAAGAGGUCCUUCACGUCCCUUGUAAGUUGGAUUCCUAGGCAUUUUAUUCUCUUUGAAGCAAUUGUGAAUGGGAGUUCACUCACGAUUUGGCUCUCUGUUUGUCUGUUAUUGGUGUAUAAGAAUGCUUGUGAUUUUUGUACAUUGAUUUUGUGUCCUGAGAAUUCACUGAAGUUGCCUAUCAGCUUAAGGAGAUUUUGGGCUGAGAUGAUGGGGUUUUCUAGAUAUACAAUCAUGUCAUCUGCAAACAGGGACAAUUUGACUUCCUCUUCCUAAUUGAAUACCCUUUAUUUCCUUCUUCUGCCUGAUUGCCCUGGCCAGAACUUCCAACACUAUGUUGAAUAGGAGUGGUGAGAGAGGGCAACCCUGUCUUGUGCCAGUUUUCAAAGGGAAUGCUUCCAGUUUUUGCCCAUUCAGUAUGAUAUUGGCUGUGGGUUUGUCAUAGAUAGCUCUUAUUAUUUUGAGAUACGUCCCAUCAGUACCUAAUUUAUAGAGAGUUUUUAGCAUGAAGGGCUGUUGAAUUUUGUCAAAGGCCUUUUCUACAUCUAUUGAGAUAAUCCUGUGGUUUUUCUCUUUGGUUCUGUUUAUAUGCUGGAUUACGUUUACUGAUUUGCAGUUGUUAACGAGCCUGGCAUCCCAGGGAUGAAGCCCACUUGAUCAUGGUGGAUAAGCUUUUUGAUGUGCUGCUGGAUUCGGUUUGCCAGUAUUUUAUUGAGGAUUUUUGCAUCAGUGUUCAUCAGUGCUAUUGGUCUAAAAUUCUCUUUUUUUGUUGUGUCUCUGCCAGGCUUUGGUAUCAGGAUGAAGCUGGCCUCACUAAAUGAGUUAGGGAGGAUUCCCUCUUUUUCUAUUGAUUGGAAUAGUUUCAGAAGGAAUGGUACCAGCUCCUCCUUGUACCUCUGGUAGAAUUUGGAUGUGAAUCCAUCUGGUCCUGGACUUUUUUUGGUUGGUAAGCUAUUAAUUAUUGCCUCAAUUUCAGAGCCUGUUAUUGGUCUAUUCAGAGAUUCAACUUCUUCCUGGUUUAGUCUUGGGAGGGUGUAUGUGUUGAGGAAUUUAUCCAUUUCUUCUAUAUUUUCCAGUUUAUUUGCAUAGAAGUGUUUAUAGUAUUCUCUUACGGUAGUUUGUAUUUCUGUGGGAUCGGUGGUGAUAUCCCCUUUAUCAUUUUCUGUUGCGUCUAUUUGAUUCUUCUCUCUUUUCUUCUUUAUUAGUCUUGCUAGUGGUCUAUCAAUUUUGUUGAUCUUUUCAAAAAGCCCCCUCCUGGAUUCAUUGAUUUCUUGAAGGGUUUUUUGUGUCUCUAUCUCCUUCAGUUCUGCUCUGAUCUUAGUUAUUUCUUGCCUUCUAGUAGCUUUCGAAUGCGUUUGCUCUUGCUUCUCUAGUUCUUUUAAUUGUGAUGUUAGGGUGUCAAUUUUAGAUCUUUCCUGCUUUCUCUUGUGGUCAUUUAGUGCUAUAAAUUUCCCUCUACACACUGCUUUGAAUGUGUCCCAGAGAUGCUGGUAUGUUGUGUCUUUGUUCUCAUUGGUUUCAAAGAACAUCUUUACUUCUGCCUUCAUUUCGUUGUGUACCCAGUAGUCAUUCAGGAGCAGGUUGUUCAGUUUCCAUGUAGUUGAGAGGUAUUGAGUGAGUUUUUAAUCCUGAGCUCUAGUUUGAUUGCACUGUGGUCUGAGAGACAGUUUGUUAUAAUUUCUGUUCUUUUACAUUUGCUGGGGAGUGCUUUACUUCCAACUAUGUGGUCAAUUUUGGAAUAGGUGUGGUGUGGUGCUGAGAAGAAUGUAUAUUCUGUUGAUUUAGGGUGGAGAGUUCUGUAGAUAUCAAUUAGGUAUGCUUGGUGCAGAGCUGAGUUCAAUUCCUGGAUAUGCUUGUUAAAUUUCUGUCUCAUUGAUCUGUCUGAUGUUGACAGUGGGGUGUUAAAUUCUCCCAUUACUAUUGCGUGGGAGUGUAAGUCUCUUUGUAGGUCUCUAAGGACUUGCUUUAUGAAUCUGGGUGCUCCUGUAUUGGGUGAAUAUAUUUAGGAUAGUUAGCUCCUCUAGUUGAAUUGAUCCCUUUACCAUUAUGUAAUGGCCUUCUUUGUCUCUUUUGAUCUUUGUUGGUUUAAAGUCUGUUUUAUCAGAGACUAGGAUUGCAACCCCUGCCUUUUUUUGUUUUGUGUUUGUUUGGUAGAUCUUCCUCUAUCCCUUUAUUUUGAGCCUGUGUGUGUCUCUGCACAUGAGAUGGGUUUCCUGAAUACAGCACAAUGAUGGGUCUUGACUCUUUAUCCAAUUUGCCAGUCUGUGUCUUUUAAUUGGAGCAUUUAGCCCAUUUACAUUUAAGGUUAAUAUUGUUAUGUGUGAAUUUGAGCCUGUCAUUAUGACGUUAGCUGGUUAUUUUGCACGUUAGUUUAUGCAGUUUCUUCCUAGCCUCGAUGGUCUUUACAAUUUGGCAUGUUUUUGCAGUGGCUGGUACCGGUUGUUCCUUUCCAUGUUUAGUGCUUCCUUCAGGAGCUCUUUUAGGGCAGGCCUGGUGGUGACAAAAUCUCUCAGCAUUUGCUUGUCUGUAAAGUAUUCUAUUUCUCCUUCACUUAUGAAGCUUAGUUUGGCUGGAUAUGAAAUUCUGGGUAGAAAAUUCUUUUCUUUAAGAAUGUUGAUUAUUGGCCCCCGCUCUCUUCUGGCAUGUAGAGUUUCUGCCGAGAGAUCCGCUGUUAGUCUGAUGGGCUUCCCUUUGUGGGUAACCUGACCUUUCUCUCUGGCUGCCCUUAACAUUUUUUCCUUCAUUUCAACUUUGGUGAAUCUGACAAUUUUGUGUCUUGGAGUUGCUCUUCUUGAGGAAUAUCUUUGUGGCGUUCUCUGUAUUUCCUGAAUCUGAAUGUUGGCCUGCCUUGCUAGAUUGGGGUUCUCCUGGAUAAUGUCCUGCAGAGUGUUUUCCAACUUGGUUCCAUUCUCCCCGUCACUUUCAUGUACACCAAUCAGACAUAGAUUUGGUCUUUUCACACAGUCCCAUGUUUCUUGGAGGCUUUGUUCAUUUCUUUUUAUUCUUUUUCCUCUAAUCUUCUCUUCUUGCUUCAUUUCAUUCAUUUGAUCUUCCAUCACUGAUACCCUUUCUUCCAGUUGAUCGAAUCGGCUACUGAGGCUUGUGCAUUUGUCACGUAGUUCUUGUGCCUUAGUGUUCAGCUCCAUCAGGUCCUUUAAGGACUUCUCUGCAUUGGUUAUUCUAGUUAGCCAUUCAUCUAAUUUUUUUUCAAGGUUUUUAACUUCUUUGCCAUGGAUUCAAACUUCCUCCUUUAGCUCGGAGUAGUUUGAUCAUCCGAAGCCUUCUUCUCUCAACUCUUCAAAGUCAUUCUCCAUCCAGGUUUUUUCUGUUGCUGUUGAGGAGCUGCAUUCCUUUGGAGGAGGAGAGGCACUCUGAUUUUUAGAGUUUCCAGUUUUUCUGCUCUGUUUUUUCCCCAUGUUUAUGGUUUCGUCUACCUUUGUCUUUGAUGAUGGUGACAUACAGAUGGGGUUUUGGUGUGGAUGUCCUUUCUGUUUGUUCAUUUUCCUUCUAACAGUCAGCACCCUCAGCUGCAGGUCUGUUGCAGUUUGCUGGAGGUCCACUCCAGACCCUGUUUGCCUGGGUAUUAGCAGCGGAGGCUGCAGAACAGCAGAUAUUGGUGAACAGCAAAUGUUGCUGCCUGAUCGUUCCUCUGGAAGUUUUGUCUCAGAGGAGUACGCGGCCAUGUGAGGUGUCAGUCUGCCCCUACUGGGGGGUGCCUCCCAGUUAGGCUACUCGGGGGUCAGGGACCCACUUGAGGAGGCAGUCUGUCUGUUCUUAGAUCUCCAGCUGCAUGUUGGGAGAACCACUCCUCUCUUCAAAGCUGUCAGACAGGGACAUUUAAGUCUGCAGAGGAUUCUGCUGCCGUUUGUUUGGCAAUGCUCUGCCUCCAGAGGAGGAGUCUACAGAGGCAGGCAGGCCUCCUUGAGCUGCAGUGGGCUCCACCCAGUUUGAGCUUCCCAGCUGCUUUGUUUACCUACUCAAGCCUCCUCAAUGGUGGGUGCCCCUCCUCCAACUUCGCUGCCACCUUGCAGUUUGAUUUCAGACUGCUAUGCUAGCAAUGAGCGAGGCUCCAUGGGCAUAAUACCCUCAGAGGCAUGCACAGGAUAUAAUCUCCUGGUGUGCCGUUUGCUAAGACCGUUGGAAAAGCACAGUAUUAGGGUUGGAGUGACCCGAUUUUCCAGGUGCCAUGUGUCACCCCUUUCUUUGACUAGGAAAGGGAAUUCCCUGAUCCCUUGUGCUUCCCAGGUGAGGCGAUGCCUCGCCCUGCUUCAGCUCAUGCUAGGUGCGCUGUACCCACUGUCCUACACCCACUCUCUGACACUCCCCAGUGAGAUGAACCCGGUACCUCAGUUGGAAAUGCAGAAAUCACCUGUCUUCUGCAUUGCUCACGCUGGGAGCUGUACACUGGAGCUGUUCCUAUUUGGCCAUCUUGGCACCACCCUCCAUAUGUUUUUUAUUAUAGUCGUUAUAAUGGGUGUGAAGUGGUAUUUCACUGUGGUUAUUAUUCACAUUUUCCUGAUGGCUAAUGUUCUUAAGUAUGUUUUCAUGUGCUUAUUGGCCAUUUGUAUAUCUUCCUUGGAAAAGUAUCUAUUUAUGACCUUUGUCCAUUUUUAUAUUGAAUAAUUUAUCUUUGCAUUAUAAAUUACAUGGAUUUUAAAAUUAUAUUCUAGAUAUCAGUAUGUGAUUUGCACAUAUUUUCUUUCAUUUUCUGGGUUGUAUGUUUAUUUUUUGUAGUGUCUUUUUAAGAACAAAAGUUUUUGGAUCUGAUGAAGUCAAAUUUAUUCAUUUCUUUUUCUUUCAUUACUUGUCCAUUUGGCAUCCUAUCUAAGAAGGCUUUGCCCAACUCUAGGUCCAAAAAUGUACUCAUAUGUGUUUAUUUUUAUUUUUAAUUUUUAAGUUCGGAGGGUUCAUGUGCAUGUUUGUUACAUGGAUCAAUGGGGUUUGGUGUACAAAUGAUUUCUUCACUCAGGUAGUGAGCAUAAUGCUUGAUGGGUAGGGUUUUGACCCUCACCCUCCUCCUGUGCUGCACUCUCAAGUAGUUCCCAGCAUCUAUUGUUGCCUUCUUUCUGUGCAUCUGUACUCAAUAUUUAGCUCUCAUUGACAAGUGCAGAUGUGGUACUUGAUUUUCUGUUCCCACAUUAAUUCACUUAGGAUAGUGGUCUUCAGCUGCAUCCACAUUGGUGCAAAGGGUACAAUUUUAUUCUUUUUUGUGGCUGCAUAGCAUAUCAUGGUGUAUAGGUACCAAAUUUCCUUUAUCUAGUCCACCAUUGAUGGGCAUCUGGGUCAAUUCCAUUUCUUUGCUACUGUGAAUGGUGUUGUGAUGAACAUACGAGUGCAUGUGUCUUUUUGGUACAGUGAAUUACUUUCCUUUGCAUAUAUGCCCAGUAAUGGGAUUGCUGGGUAAAACUGUAGUUCUGUUUUAAGUACUUUGAGAAAUCUACAGACUGCUUUCCACAGUGCCUGAACUAAUUUACUUUCGCACCAGCAGUUUAUAAGUGUUCCAUUUUCUCUGCAACCUUGCCAAUGUUUUUUAUUUUCUGACAUUUUAAAAAUAGCCAUUCUGAGGAGUAUAACACAGUAUCUCACUUUGGUUUUGAUUUACAUUUCUCUGAUGAUCAGUGAUGUUGAAGAUUUUUUUCACAUUGUUGUUGGCUAUGUGUAUAUUUUCUUUAGAGAAGUGUUUGUUCACGUCCUUUGCUCAUUUUUCAGUGGGAUUGUUUGUCUUUUGCUAAAGUUCGUUAUUAACUUAAGCUCAGAUUCCGGAUAUUAGAUCUUUGUCAAAUGCAUAGUUUGCAAAUAUUUUCUCCAUUCUAUGGGUUGCCUGUUUACUCUGUUGAGUUUCUUUUGCUGUGCAGAAGCUGUUUAAUUUAAUUAGGUCCCACUGCUCUAUUUUUGUUUUUGCUGCAAUUGCUUUUGGAGACUUCAUUAUAAAAUCUUUGCCCAGGCCUAUGUACAGAGUGGUAUUUUCUAGGUUUUAUUCUAGGGUUUUUAGUUUCAGGUCUUACAUUUAAAUCUUUAAUGCACCUUGAGUUGAUUUUUAUAUAUGGUUAAAGUAAGGGGUCCAGUUUCAAUGUUCUACGCAUGGCCAGCCAGUUAUCCCAGCACCGUCUAUUAAAUAGGGAGUCCUUUCCCCAUUGCUUGUUAUUGUAGACUUUUUCAAAGAUCAGUUGGUUGUAGAUGUAAAGCUUUAUUUCUGGGUCCUCUAACCUGUUCCAUUGGUCUAUGUGUCUGUUUUUGUACCAGAAUCCUGCUGUUUUGGUUACUGUAGCCUUGUAGUAUAGUUUGAAGUUGGGUAGUGUGAUGCCUCCAGCUUUGUUCUUUUUGCUUAGGACUAUUUUGGCUAUUUGGGCUGUUUUUUAGUUUCAGAUUAAUUUGAGAACACUUUUCUAAUUCUAUGAAAUGUGAAAUUGGUGGCUUGAUAAGAAUAGCACUGAAUCUGUAAAUUGCUUUGGCCACUGUGGCCAUUUUAACAAUAUUGAUUCUUCCCAUACAUAAGCAUAGAAUGCUUUUCCAUUUGUUUGUGUCAUCUCUGAUUUCUCUCAGCAGUGCUUUGUAAUUCUCAUUGUAGAGACCUUUAACCUCCUUGGUUAGCCAUAUUCCUAGGUAUUUUAUUCUAUUUUUAGUUAUUAUGAAUGGAAUUGCAUGCUUGAUUUGGCUGUCAACUUGGAUGUUAUUGGUGUAUAGAAAUGGUACUUAUUCAUGUACAUUGAUUUUGUAUACUAAAACUUUAUUGAAGUUGUUUAUCUGUUCAAGGAGCUCCCCAAAGGCAGACUACGGGGUUUUCUAGGUAUAGAAUCAUAUCAUCUGCAAAGAGAAUUUGACUUCCUCUCUUCCUAUUUGAUUGCCUUCUUUUGCCUGAUGGCUCUGGCUAGGACUUCCAGUACUAUAUUGAAUAGGAAUGGUGAGACUGGGCAUCCUAGUCUUGUUCUGGUUCUCAAGGGGAUUGCUUCCAGCUUUUGCUCGUUCAGUAUAAUGUUGGCUGUGGGUUUUUCAUAGAUAGUUCUUACGAUUUUAAGGUAGUUUGUCAAAAGUUUUUAAUAUGAAGGGAUGUUGAAUUUUAUCAAAAGCCUUUUGUAUGCCUGUUGGGAUGACCAUGUGGUUUUCAUUUUUGGUUCUAUUUACAUGAUGAAUCACUUUAUUGAUUUGCAUAUGUUGAACCAGCUUUGCAUCCCAGGAAUAAAGCCUACUUGAUCGUGGUGGAUUAGCUUUUUGAUGUGCUGCUGGAUUUAAUUUGCUACUAUUUAAUUGAGGAUUUUUACAUCUAUGUUUAUCUAUGUUUAUCAGGGAUAUUGGCCUGAAGUUUCCUUUUUUUGGUUAUGUAUCUGUCAGGUUUUGGUAUGGAAAUAAUGGUGGCUUCAUAGAAUGAUUUAGGGAAUAGCCUCUCCUUUUUGAGGGGUGGGGAGGGAUGGGGAUAGUUUUAGUAGAAUCAGUACUAGCUCUUCUUUACACAUCUAGUAGAAUGUGGCUGUGAUUUCAUCUAGACCACAGCUUUUUCUGGUUAGUAGUUUUUUAUUACUGUUUCAAUUUUGGAACUUGUUAUUGGUCUGUUCAAAAUUUCAAUUUCUUCCUGGUUCAAUCUUGGGAGGUUUUAUAUUUCCAGGAAUUUGUCCAUUUCUUCUUGGUUUUCUAGUUUGUGUGCAUAGAGAUGUUCAUAAUAAUCUCUAAGGUUUUUUGUUUUUCUGUUGGUUGAUGGUAAUGUCAGCUUUGUCAUUUCUGAUUGUGUUUAUUUGAAUCUUCUCUCUUUUUUUCUUUAAUAAUUAGGCAGCAGUCUAUCAAUCUUAUUUAGUCUUUCAAAGAUCCAAUGUUUUUGUUUUAUUGAUCUUUUGCAUAAAUUUCUGCAUCUCAGUUUGGUUCAGUUCAGCUCUGAUUUUGGUUAUUUCAUUUCUUCUGCUAGUUCUGGGGUUGGUUUACUCCUAUUUUUCUAGUUCCUCUAGAUAUGACAUUAGGUUGUUAAUUUGAGAUCUUUUUAACUUUUUUAAAUGAGUGUUUAGUGCUAUAAAUUUUCCUCUUGAAUGUUAUAUAGUGUUAAAUGCCUACAUCAAAGAUAAUUCAAGGAUACUGUGAACACCUUUAUGCACACAAACUAGAAAAUCUAGAGGAAAUGGAUACAUUUCGGAAAACAUACAACCAUCCUAGAUUAAAUCAGGAAGAAAUAGAAGCCCUGAACAGACCAAUAGCAAGUAGUGAGACUGAAUCACUAAUAAAGAAAAAUUGCCAACAAAAAAGUCCAGGACCAGAUGAAUUCACAGCUGAAUUCUACCUGACAUUCAAAAAAUUGGUACCAAUCCUGCUGAAAGUAUUCUCAAAGAUUGAGAAAGAAGAAUUUCUCUCUAAAUCAUUCUGUGAAGCCAGCAUCACCAUAAUACCAAAAUCAAGAAAGGACAUAAAAGAAAAUAAUAGAUCCAUAUCACUGAUUAACAUAGAUGCAAAGAUCUUCAAGAAAAUACUAGAUAAUUGAAUCUAAUAGUGCAUCAAAAAGAUAGUACAAUAUGAUCAAGUGGGUUUUAUCCCAGGGAUGCAAGGAUGGUUUAACAUACAUAAGUCAAUAAUUUUGAUACAUCACAUAAACAGAAUUAAAAACAAAAACCCUAUGAUCAUCUCAAUAGAUGCAGAAAAAGCAUUUGAUAAAAUAUAGCAUUCCUUUAUGUGAAAAGCCCUCAACAAAGUAGGCAUAGAAGGAACUUACCUCAAAGUAAUAAGAGCCAUAUAUGACAAACCCACAGCCAACAUAAUACUGAAUGGGAAAAAGUUAAAAUCAUUCUCCCUGAAAACUGGAAGAAGAUAAGGAUGCCCACUUUUACCACUUCUAUUUGGCAUAGUACUAGAACUUCUAGGCAGAGCAAUCAGGAAAAACAAAUAAAUAAAGGGCAUCCAAAUUGGAAAAAAAGAAGUCAAACUGUUGCUAUUUGCUGAUGAUAUGAUCAUGCACCUAGAAAACCCUAAAGACUCAUCCAAAAGGCUACUAGAUCUGAUCAAUGAAUUCAGUAAAGUUUUAGGUUACAAAAUCAAUGUAGAAAAAUCGGUAGCACUGCUGUGUACACCAACAACAACAAAUAUGGGAAUCAAAUCAAGAACUCAAUCCCUUUUACAAUGGCUGCAAAAAUAAAAAAUAAAAUACCUGAGAAUAUACUUAACCAAGGAGGUAAAAGAUCUCUACAAUAAAAACUACAAAUGGAAACACAUCCCAUUCUCAUGGAUAGGAAGAAUCAAUAUUGUGAAAAUGACCAUACUGCCCAAAUCAAUCUACAAAUUCAAUGUAAUUCCCAGCAAAAUACUAUCAUUUUUCACAGAGCUAGGAAAAAUCCCUGAAAUUUAUAUGGAACCAAAAAAGAGCCCACAUAGACAGAGCAAUAGUAAGCAAAAAUAACUAAUCUGGAGACAUCACAUUAUUGGACCUCAAAUUAUACUACAAGGCUAUAGUUACCAAAACAUCAUGGUACUGGUAUAAAAAUAGGCACUUAGACCAAAUGUAACAAAAUAGAGAACUCAUAAAUAAAGCCAAAUACUUACAGCCAGCUGAUCUUUGACAAAGUAUGCAAAAAUGUAAAUUGGAGAAUGAACUCCCUAUUCAAUAAAUUGGCUGGGAAAACUGGCAAGCCACAUGUAUAAGAAUGAAACUGGAUCCUCAUCUCUCACCUUAUAUAAAAGUCAACUCAAGAUGGAUCAAAGACUUAAAUCUAAGACCUGAAAUCAUAAAAAUUAUAGAAGACAACAUUGGAAAAACUCUUCUAGACAUUGGCUUAAGUAAAGAAUUUAUGAAUAAGACCCCAAAAGCAAAUGACACAAAAAAAUAAAUAAAUGGAACCUAAUUAAACUAAAAAGCUUCUGCACAGCAAAAGAAAUAAUCAGCAGAGUAAACAGACAACCCACAGUCUGUGGGAGAAAAAUAUUUACAAACUAUGCAUCUGACAAAGGGCUAGUAUCCAGAAUCUACAAGGAACUCAAAUCAGCAAGAAAAAAAAAAAAACAAUAAUCCCAUCAAAAAGUGAGCAAAGGACAUGAAUAGACAUUUCUCAAAAGAAAGAUAUACAAACAGCCAACAAACAUGAAUAAAUGCUCAACAUCACGAAUCAUCAGGGAAAUGCAAAUUAAAACCACAAUGAGAUAUCACCUUACUCCUGCAAGAAUGGUAAUAAUAAAAGAGUCAAAAAACAAUAGAUGUUGGCAUGGAUGUGGUAAAAAGAGAACACUUUUACAAUGCUGGCGGGAAUGUAAAUUAGUAUAAUCAGUAUAGAAAACAGUAUGGAGAUUACUUAAAUAACUAAAAGUAGAUCUACCAUUCACUCCACUACUGGGUAUCUACCCAAAGGAAAAGAAGUCAUUAUAUGAAAAAUACAUAUGUAUAUGCACGCUUAUAGCAGCACAAUUCACAAUUGCAAGAAUAUAGAACCAACCUAAGUGCCCACUGACCAACAAGUGGUUAAAGAAAAUGUGUUAUUUUACACCGUGGACUACUAUUCAGCCAUAAAAAGAAACAAAAUAAUGUUUAUUGCAGCAACUUGGAUGGAACCGGAGGCCAUUAUUCUAAGUGAAGUAACUCAGUAAUGGAAAACCAAAUAACAUAUAUGCUCAUUUAUAAGUGGGAGCUAAGCUGUGAGGAUGCAAAAACGUGCAGGGUGAUAUAAUGGACUAUGGGGACUUGGAGGAGGAAGGUUGGGAGGAGAGUGAGGAAUAAAAGAAAAUAUAUUAAAUACAGUAUACACUGCUCAGGUGAUGGAUGCACUAAAAAUCUCAGAAUUCACUACUAAAAAACUCAUCCAUGUAACCAAAAUCCACCUGUACCCCCAGAACUAUUGAAGUUUUUAAAAAAAUUAUACAAAAAAUCCUUUCCUCUUAAUACUGCUUUAGCUGUGUCUCAGGGAUUCUGGAAAGUUGUAUCUUUGUUUUAAUUAGUUUCAAUUUUUUUUUUAUUUCUGCCUUAAUUUCAUUUUUUUAACCCAAAAGUCAUUCAGAAGCAGGUUGUUUAAUUCCCAUGCAAUUAUAUGGUUUUGAGUUGUUUAUCUGCUAUUGCUAUACAUUUUUAUUGUCCUGUGGUCUGAGAAUGUUGUUGGUAUGAUUUCAUUUCUUUUAAAUUAGUUAAGAAUUGCUUUUCCACCAAGCAUGUGGUUGAUCUUAGAGUAUGUGCCAUGUGCAGAUGAGAAUAAUAUGUAUUCUGUUGUUGCUGGGUGGAUUAUUCUGUAGAUAUCUCUUAGGUUCAUUUGGUCAAGUGUCAAGUUUUGGUCCUGAAUAUCUUUGUUAGUUUUCUGUCUCAUGAUCUAACAUUGUUAGUGGGAUGUGAGGUCACCCACUAUUAUUGUAUGGUUAUCUAAGUCUCUUCAUAGGUCUCUAAAGCCUUGUUUUAUGAAUCUUUAUACUCCAGUCUUGGGUGCAUACAUAUUUAGGAUAGGUAAAUCUUCUUUCUGAAUUGAAACCUUUAUCAUUAUGUAAUGCCCUUCCUUGUCCUUCCUGAUGAUUCUUGGUUUAAAGUCUAUUUUGUCUGAAAUAAGAAUAGCAACUCCUAUUCUCUUUUGUUUUCCAUUUGUUUGAUAGAUCUUUCUCCAUUCCUUUACUCUGAGCUGGUGGGUGUCAUUGCAUGUGACAUAUGUCUCUUGAAGACAGCAUACAGUUUGGUCUUGCUUCUUUAUCCAACUUCCCACUCUAUGUCUUUUAAGUGGGGCAUUUAGCCUGUUUACAUUCAAAGUUAUUAUUGAUUUGUAAGGGUUUGAUCCUAUCAUUGUGUUGUUAACUGAUUUUUAUGUAGACUUGAUUGUAUAGUUGCUUUAUAAAGUCACAGAGCUGUAUACUUAACUGUGUUUUUGUGGUGGCAGGUAAUCAUCUUUCAUUUCCGUGUUUAGCACUCCAUUAAGGACCCCUUGUAAGGCAAGUCUGAUGGUAGUGAAUUCCCUUAGCAUUUGCUCAUCUGAAAAGGUUUUUAUUUCUCCUUCACUUAUGAAGCUUAGUUUAGCUAAAUGUGGAAUUCUUGGUUGGAAUUUCUUUUCUUUAAGGAUGCUUAAUGUAGGCCCUCAAUCCCUUCCAACUUGUAAGAUUUCUGCUGAAAGGUCUAUUGUUAGCCUGAUGGGGUUCCUUUUGUAUUGACCUGCCUCUUCUCUUUAGCUGCAUUUAAGAUUUUUUUCUUUCAAAUUGACUUUGAAGAAUCUGAUGACUAUGUGUCUUAGGGAUGGUAAUCUUUUGUAGUAUCUCACAGGGGCUCUCUGAAUUUUUGUGGACAAUAUCCUCAAAUAUGUUAUCCAAGUUGCUUACUCAGUCUCCUACACUUCCAGGAAUGCCAGUGAGUCAUAGGUGUGGUCUCUAUGUAAUCUCACAUUUCUCAGAGGUUUUGUCUGUUUUUUAAAGUUCUUUUUUAUUUUUUUCUGCCUGCAUUGAUUUGAAGUAGUGGCCUUUGACUUCUGAGAUUCUUUCCUCAGCUUAGUCUAUUCUGUUAUUAAUGCUUCUAGUUGCAUUCUGAAAUUCCUAUAGUGAAUUUUUCAUUUCCAGAAGUUCAGCUUUGUUUUUCCAUAAAAUGAAUAUGUUGCUUUUCAGCUCUGUGACCAUUUCACUGUUUUUCUUUGAUUGUGUUUCAACCUUCUCCUGUAUUUCAGUGAGCUUCCUUGCCAUCCACAUUCGGAAUUCUGUAUCUUUUAUUUCAACCAUUUCAGUAUGGCUAACAACCAUUGAUGGAAAGCUAAUAUAUUCUUUUGGAGGUAAGAAGAUACUCUGGCUUUUAGAGUUGCCAGGGUUCUUGUACUUGUUAUUUCUCAUCUCAUCUUUGUGGACUGAUGCUUCUUGAAUCUUUUAAGUUGCUGUCUUUUGGAUGGGGCUUUUCACUUUUAUAUUAUUUGAUGUCCUUGAAGGUUUAGUCAGUUGGCUUCAUUUCUGGAUACUUGCAGGAGGCCAAGACUCAGCUUAGCACUCCUGGACUGUGUGUUCUAACCCUGAGGGGAUGAAACCAGGCCUGCAGCUUUGUUCUCUGGCUCCUCAAGAUUAAGCACCAGCUGUGCUGGAGGGCUCCAGGUGUUUCCAGUCCACUGGCAACAACACUGCAACUGGGGCUGCCAGAAAAAGCACUCUGGUGUGGUGUUGGUGGGUCCAAGUGUGCAUGCAUGCUGGCUGGAUGGUGGGGGUCCUCGUGCACGUUCUGGUAGGGUGGAGGCAAGUCCACACUUGUGCAUGCCAGUGGGUAGUGGCAGGGUCCCAAGUAUGUGCACCAUGGCAGGGUAGCAAGGGGAGGCUGUGGACAGAGGCACUCCAGCAGAGAAGGCUGUGACUAGGCUGCACACUGGUAGGGUUCUUCCUACAUUACUCUGACAGAUAGGCAGGGUCUGCAAGUGAAAAAACCAUGGUAGUGGUUACUACCAAGCUGAGGCUGUACUAUAAGCAGAUAUUGCCAGAGCCCAGCAGACAGGGGAGUUCUAAGACAAGAUUAGCCCCAUCCCACAGGCAAGACAGCCCUGCUUAGCCCGGGCACCACAGUUAACCAAGGCUGAAGCCUCCUAGAGAAGUAUGGCAAGCCUUGGGGGAUGGGCACACAUGGCUGAACUCCACUGCAGCCAUUCUUGUGCCAAACAUUCUGGCCUCCAUGCAAGCUGGAGUUCUGUUUAUGCCAACUUUCCAGGCAGUUCCCCCUUGUCAACUCAGAUGUCCAUGGGGAUUGUGAGGUUUCUCACAGCUAGAAUCCUUGAGAUCCAUGGCAACAGUAGGCUACUCUCUGCCUAUGUUUCUCAUCUUUCCCUAGGAGCCUCUUGAGGCCAGGAACAAGUCCUGGUGCUCAGCAACCCUGUGCAUGAUUCCUAGUUUCCUUUCCUUUCAAACUGAGGUUGGUAUCCUCCCUCUGUCCACUCACAAUGCAUUCUUUCUGUAGAUCUGCUUACAGUGUGACAAUCUACUUGAUGGUCUGGUCUUUCUCGGUGGGAGAAGCUCCUCCUGGCUGCAUCUAGUCAACCAUCUUGCAGGGUCUGCUCAUACAUUUUCUUCCAACAGCUUUAUAGUUUUAGCUCUUAUGUCUAUGAUAUGUCUAUGAUCCAUUUUGAAUUAAUUUUUGUCUGUGGUGUUGUUCUAGUUACCGUUUGUUGAAAAGAUGACUCUGUCUCUCAAUGAAUCUUCUUGCUACCCUUGUCAAAAAUCACUUGACUGUAAAUGCAAUGUGUUCUGUUUCUACUUUUUAACAUGGAAAGUUUUGAGAGUCUAGGAAACUACUGGUGACAAAACUCUGUUACAUAGUACCGCAGUCAAACCAAGUCUCUCUAGGGCUGCCUGUGUCCCAGAGCCAUAUGUUACACAGCCAGCCUCUAUUUAGCUCACCUAGUUAUAUCUUUCAAGUAUCUAAUGAAUUGGAGAGUUAGGGUAGAAGAGAAGUAAUGAUAAUAAUGAUAAUAAGAAUAGUAAAUUUUGAGAACCUACUAUGCAUCAUGGACUAUUUAAAGCAUGCAUUGUCUCAUAUAAUUCUCACAACCAUCUUACCCAGGUUGGUACUCUUGAAGAAAGAGAGCAAUUAAAAAAAGUGAUGCAUGGAAAUUAAGAAAUUUAUUCAAGGUGACUAAUCUAGGAAAUGGUAAAAUACGGCUGUAAAGCCAGAUGAUGUACCUCUGGAGUUUGCCCAAUCAAUUACUACUCUAGACUCCAUUAAAUAAUCAAGAAUUCACCAAUUUUUCAAAGUAAUUGAUCUGUUUUUAUUUUGGUAUCACUUUGUGACUCUCAAAUGCAGAGGAGCCUAGGUCUUGAAGUGAGCCACUUCACAGAAACCUCUGAAGUUGAUAAAACAGCUAAUAUUGUAAAUUUUAGUCCAGAAUUUUAAAGAGGAAACCAUAAUUCUUUUGCAUAGGAUUCACUAAAUCAGUGAAUAGAAGUGCCCACAACAGUGCCCUGAAUGUGAAGGUUGGAUAUGGAUAUGUGGUUGGGAAAGAUCAUGGCUUUUGGAGCCAAAUAACCAUGAAUCUAAUGUGUGACAUGGGCUAGGAUCUUACCUCUAUCAGCUGUCAUAUAUGCAAACGGAACAGUGAAAAUAUUCAGGAUUGUUAUGAGAAUUUACUGAUAAUAUAACUGCCUGGCACAAUGCCUACCACAUAGAACAAGUUCAAUAAGUGCUAUUUUUGCUUUAUUAUGAUGAUGGUUAUUUUCUCCAAAUAGGAAAUAGGUUCCAAAACAUGGCUGAAAACAUGUUUAACUCACAGUUGGAUUGGCAAACGGAAGUAUUAUUGUAUACUUUUCAAUAGAGUUAGGGAAAAUAUACUAUACUACUUUCUGGAAGCUCAACCCUACUUUCUAUCUGCCUUAUCUCCUAACUUGAAUGGUUGGGUGCCCACAGCCCUUUUGCAUUAAAUUUUACAUUGAUUUUUAUGACCCUGUUAUUCCAUGUAAUAUCUGAGUACUCCGACUUCUCAGUAUCUCUCUCCCCCUCCCUGGUGUGGUAUGAAAUAAAGUUCAUAGCAGCAUUAUAAUAGAUCCGCCAGAAUCCAAAAGUGGAGGUUACCAAGUAAUUAUCUGAAGGAGACUCCAAAAAUGUCUAUUUUUAUGUUCAUAUAUAAAAAUGGUUUUAAAGUUAGGGCAAGCCAAAACAUGUCCCAGUUUAUGUUCUCAGAGAUUGUGACUUCAAAUGCUAUUCUCUGUCAUUUUUUUCUUCACUCAAAAAAGAAAUAAUAAACAGAGCCAAAGCAACCAAGGUCUUGGUUGGGGCUCAAUCCUUAAGAAGGGUGGAGCUCUUUUCUUUCUUUGGGGGUAGGGGUGGGAGUUGGGUUGGCAGACAGGUGCUGUUCUCUGGAAUGGGUACCCCAUCUUUAUAGACUGCCUCCAGGACCCACAUCUAUCUCCUAUUAUGAUAUAAUCUUUGGCCCAUCUGUUCUAUUUAUAAACCCUGUGGGGCCUUUUAAUGUUGACCCUUAAUAUGAGCUCAACUUAAUGUUAGGAAAGGAUAUUUAACUAACCUUUGCUCUUAGAAAUUGCUAAAACUGUCCAUUAAUCUAUCAUUCAUACUCAGGUACCUAUCUUCUAUCCACAUUACCAUCUCUGCCAAGCAGGUAAAAUGCAGAGGCUUUUGAAAAAAUUGGAUCCAUUGGGAUGUAGAGGACUAGUUGUCCUGAAAUUAGCAAAAAACCUGGGGACCAGCUAGGUCAGUAUUUUCUUACCAGGGAUGCUUCUAUACCCAGAGAAUCCCAGAAUCAGCUUACUUAUUGAAAUCCCUAACAAUGACCUUUUCCAUAAUUCUCAUGCCUGCUGGCAAACACAAUGAGCUGCCUUCUGCCAAUUGUAUCUGCCGAAGGCUAGCAGAGUGAUGAUCUCAGAUAUAGAACUUCCCCCAAUCCCUUUUGUACCACAGGAAUGCUUGAUGAUUGCUAUUCUACUCCUGCCAGUUCCUUCUUCCUAGUGGGUUCUUAUGGCUCUCUCUUUAUCUUUAAGCAUAAUUAAUUGGUUCAAAGUGUUAAUGCUGCAAUGCAGGCAUGUAAGUACUGCAUCUCGGACCCAGGGAAUUGGGAGCUCAUCUCUCCUCACAGAUGGCUGCAUGGAAGUGUGAGGUGAAAGUAAGGCCUGCAAUUCGACUUGUGAAGUGUCUUGGGACCCACACGAUGGGUGUCUGGGGGUGCUGUAAAGAUAUCAUGAUUAAACAAACGGGUGGUAUUAGAUUGUAUCACAUGCUGCUAUCUUUUAUUGUGCUAUAAAAUGGCUCAUUUAGGGAUAAAUGGGAAUUUAAACUUUUCUGCUGUGAUCUGUUGUCCCAUAGGUUUUUAACAUAAUUCAGUCACUCUCUCACCCCCUUACUCCUAUACCCUCAACCCUCACAUUGCUCACUUUUCUUUUCUUUUCUUUUCUUUUUCUCUCUCUUUCUGUCGCUUUCUCUUUUUCUUUCUCUUUCUUUCUUUCUCUUUCUCUCCUUCCCCUUCCCUUCCCUCUUUCCUUUUCUUUCUUUCUUUUUUUUUUUCUUGAAUCCAAACCUCUUAGUUCUGUCAUCAUUAAUUAUGGGAAUUUUUUUUACCAGGUUAUUAAAUUCUCUGAGGCUGUUCUUUUUGUCUCUAAAACUGAGAUAAUACCCAUUUCCUAAGGUUGUUGAGAGUUUAAAUGAACUAUAAUAUUCAUAGAUAAAAUCUUGCACUGCUCCUAGGCUUAAUAGGUUCUCAGUUAAUGUGAGUUCUUUUCUCUUUCUUCCUAAAAAUUAUAUUGCAGAAAAUGGAUGGGGAGAUCUGUGGCCUAAUGCUUCAACCUUUGUGGGAACAGAAAUUAGGAUGGCUGAAUGAUAGGUCAAAUGUUCCCACUGCCUUACUAAAGGCUUCCCUGAAUGGGAGAAGGGAUGCUAAAGUGGAGGUGACAGGACAAAAUUUGUUCCAGGACAAUAAAAUCUACCAGUGUUACAGGCCAAACUGUGUAUCUACUCCAUAUUUCUAUGCUGAAGUCCUAACCUCCAGUGCCUCAUCAAGUGGUUAUAUUUGGAGAUAGAGUCUUUAAAAAGAUAACCAAGUUAAACUGAGGUCAUUAGUUUAACUCAUGAGGUGGGCUCCAAUCCUGGUGUCUUUAUAAGAGGGAGGAGGUUAGGAAAGGAAGACCCUGUUAAGACAUCCAAAGAAGACAGCCAUCUACCAGCCAAGGAAAAGGGCCUCAGGGAAGAACCAAACCAAAACAAAAGACCAGGAGUUGUGAGAGGCCUCCAAAAUGGUAAGAAAAUAAAUUUAUGUUGUUUUAAGCCACCCAGUCUGUAGUGCUUUUCAAAAGUAGCCCUAGGAAGCUAAUUCUAUGAGGAACUUAUGGUCCAUAUUUCUGUAAUUAUAAAACUAAUGUCAGCUACAGGAGGAUAAAGCAGAAAUAUUUAGGUUAUGAAGGGACCAUAGUUUAGAAAUAUGAAGGGGGACCUGGGGGCUAAAUAUGUCAUAAACUGACGAAGGAAUGGUCUGACUAUCUGAGUUACAAAAUGUAAAAAGCUAAGCAAUUGAAGACAAGGCAUGCUUCACCUCAGAGCUGACAGGCUGGUGUCAGCCAUGCCUCUGCAGAAUGCCUUUCCAGCAGCCACUGAGAAUUAUCUCUGCCUUUUAAUCCUCUCAUUGCAGAGUUGUUUCAGGCAGAUUAUUCCUAAAAACCUCAUGUAAUUAAUAUCAAUUAUUUAGAUUUGCUGCUUUAGUCAGUGUCAGAUUUUUCAGCACAGGACAAGAUGUUAUUACUAUUAUUACUGCUAAUUAUGGAGUUGAGUCUAUAUUGACAAUUGGAUUCAAAAAUGGGAAAAUCAAGGUUUAGUUAUUGCUAAACUUUAGGAGCAGGAAAACUUGAAGUUGGAAUCAUUAUUCUUUAUCGAGGAGUUACCUUCCGGUAGUUCCUUGGGCUAUGGGGUGAGGGUUUGGCGAUACACUGCCUGUGUUCCACCCCGACUUUGCCCCAUGUUAGCUAUGUAACUUUGGCCGUGCGUUGCUGUCUCUGUGCCUAUGUUUCCCCAUUUGUAAAAGUGGGGUGAUGUUAGGGUCUACUUCACUGUGAAGUUGCUGUGAAGUUUAAAUGAGGUAAUACAUGUAAAGCCUUCAGAACAAGCCUUAGCACAUGUAAUUUCCAAACACAUGAGAGAUUGCAUUAUUAAUAUUGUUAAGAUUCUAUUCCAGAAUGUACACCAAGGGACAAGUGUGUAAUAUGGUAGAUGAGGAGUUGGGUCAACUGAGAUGUGAAUUCCAGCUCUGUCACUCACAGGUCAAGUGAGCAAAUUACCUGAGUUCUCUGAGGUUCAGUUCUCUCACUUGAAGAAAGGGGAUAAUAGUAUCUACCUCACUGGAGUACCAGGUGUGUGAUGAAUAUUAAUUGCUCUGAUUUGUUGAGUAUUUGUGACUUCCCAGGUACUGUUCUGAUAGCUUUAUCCCAUCCACUAAAUUAACACUUUCUUCAAAUCUAUGUGAUAGGUACUAUUACAUUCAUGUUUCAGACAAAGAAAGUAAGAAUUGGAGAGGGUGAAUGAUUGGUUUGAGAAGUCACUCUGCUUCUCACUGGCAGUGCCAAACAAUCUGACUCAUCAGGCUUGCCACUAACUACCCUUAUUUCCGUUAAGGAUUCUCCUACCUUUUCCUAUUCCCAUCCAGCCUCUCAUCUGAUUUCUAACUCUGAUGUCCUACUCCUAGGGAACUGAAACUUACACUUUUGCUAAAACCUUCAGCAACCAUUAGAUUGAAUACAUGAUAUAUUGGCCACUUACUGACAUGCACGUUGUUCCCAAUUUUUUUAAAAGAGUUUUAAUAAUAAAGUCAAUUAGAAAACUCUAAUGGCAGCCCAUUUUCUCAGAAUGCCCUGUGCUACAUAGGUCUCCUGAGUGAAUGUUCUGUUCGCUUUGGAAUUACAUUGCUCUCUGCUAGUGUAAUCACCCAUUUAUUCAUAAAAGAAAUAUUUAUUCAGCUGACAGUAGAUACUAGAGGCUGUUCUGGGUUCUGGAAAUAAAGCGUUGACAAAAACAUUAAAGGAUUCCUGCCCUAAUAGAAUAUUCUAGAGGAAG
Molecule: long non-coding RNA, 52684 nt
Filed under: Homo sapiens (human)
Lineage: Eukaryota; Metazoa; Chordata; Mammalia; Primates; Hominidae
Description: non-protein coding lnc-NTRK3-2:4
Source: RNAcentral